This 44585-nucleotide long non-coding RNA is filed under the name Zostera marina. RNAcentral's name for it is "long non-coding RNA (ZMAR_LNC000660)". Lineage: Eukaryota; Viridiplantae; Streptophyta; Magnoliopsida; Alismatales; Zosteraceae. The record is from RNAcentral.
CCUAAUCUAUCCCAAAGUGGCAAAGAAGAAAUUUAAUAUAGUUAUUAUGGUAAAAAAAGGCAUAUAUGAGACACCAAGCUCGGUGACUAUAUGGUUAUUUCGACAAACUAAAAUAGAUAUAAAAUAAAUAACAUAACACACUGGUUGUAAUAAAUUCAGAGUCGUUUCAGACCAUGCACUUUAAUGACUACUCAUGGAUUAAUCCAGGGUGCUUAAUUUGAAGUGUACAUGCACUGGUACGUGGUUACUUAGUACGGCGGGGGGGCCUUGUAGGCCGGUGGCAUAUACGGCGGUGGCUUCUUGUAGACUGGUGGUUUGCACGGUGGAGGUUCCUUAUGAACUGGUGGUGGUUUGCACGGUGGAGGUUCCUUAUGAACUGGUGGUGGUUUGCACGGCGAUGGUUUCUUGUGGUGUUCUCUGUGGUCUCGUUUUUUACAGUAGGGUAAAUACUUGAACCAUGGGUGGUCAGGACAAUUGAUGUGAUAACCAUUCCAGAAGGUCUUUUGCACGCAUGCAGCUCGAGAGAAGGGAACUUUACCGGCGUCAGUGCCUAAAACAUAGACUGAUUGGUCGUUGGAGCUUAGAGAUAGCGUGAAAUUAUCUGGGUGUCGCAAGGUUGGGCAUGGAUUAUUCUUUGACACGGAACGAACAUGAGCAUAGCACUGUCUGUCGACAAGUGUUGUCGGAAGUUGUACACUGAGUUUUCCAUCUCUACCGAACUCACCGAACGCCACCUCCUUGAAAUCCUCCUCGUUGGUUUCAGAUUUGCAAACCACCGCCAACAGAAUCCCUGCAUUUAAUUUACACCCCAUGAAAAACCCCAGAUGCAUGAUAAUACAUUAUUACAUACAUGCACGUAGGCGUCAACGUAACCCUAAACUCUAAUUUAAGUUAAUUAUAAUUAACCUUUGAAAUCGUUGGUUCUGCAAUCUACGCAUUCCGCAACACCCACUAAUUUGGCAACCUUGUCGCUGUCUGUAGGGAUCGCCGAGGCGGCAGUAACGAUCAGCAGCGUCACUGCCAACAAGAAGAACCCGGUCUUCCACAUCGUAAUUAAGUCGUCGGAACCAAGAAGAAGACGGGGGAAGUUUUGGAGUGGAUGAAGGGUUUGGGUUGAUGCGGAAGUAUGUAUAUAGAGGGUACGUACGAACUACGAAGUUGGCAAGGUCCCACCCAUGGCUACGCUCAUUAUUAACCGUUAGGUGAUGAUUCAACUACCCAUCCAAUUAUUAUCCAAUACUAUGUAUCGAUCUAUGGUUAGUUAUAUCAUCGUGAAAAUUAAAUGGAAAUUACAAACAGAAUAAAAUUAUUGUGAUCGGUUUAACUAAUUUAUAUGCAAAAUUAGAUGUAUUUAAUCGAUAUUAAUUAAUUUGUUUCAGCUUUUACUCAUUGGAUGGGUAAAUCAGGAUGAUGAAUUGAUAAGUGUGCAGUGAGCCAGUAAUGAUCGGAAUAAACCUAACUUGUUUCACUCAUUAAUAUAUGCUUUGUUUUUUGAAUUUUUUCUCUUAAUUUCCUCCCAUAAAUGCAAAGACAAUUGCCAGUGACAAAUUGCUACAAUGGAUGGAGAUAAGGGACCAUAUAUACUCAUACCAUGAUGGGCGUUUGGUCAUUUCGGGCUGUCAAAGCUUAAAAUCAGCCAUGGAUUAAUUCGAUUCCUCUCCAGUUGUACCUAUUUAUUACAAUCCAGAAUAUCGCCAUUCAUCAUCAUUCUGUAAUGCUUUGGCAUCUAUGUGUGUAUGUACAGUUUAUUUUUCACCUAUCUUUGUUUUGCAUAAUCAAUGAUCCAUCUUAAUUAGCUAUCUAUCUAUCUAUCAAUUCAAUUUGCUCGUUCGUUAACACUUUCAGAGUGGAUUUAAUUACAAAUGUAAAUCUACUAAUUGAGAAUUAAAAAAAAAAUUGAAUUAGGCUGACAAAGUUCAAACAAAAUUGAAUUAGGUUUUUCUUCCCAACUCAUAUACUAAAAGCUAGUACUUUAUAUAAAAAUACGUAAGAUUAAUAUGAUCGAGAUAGGGUACAUAGAGUAAAAAAAUAUAAAAUGAAAACAAUAUAGGUAAACUUAAUUUAGAAUUGGGAAAAAGUAGCAUGUUUAUUCUUCUUUUUUUACAUUUUAAAAUUAAUAAAUUGUCAACUGAUUUCAAAUUCAAAAAAAAAAAAAAUAGAAUUAUAGAAGUAGAUAAUUUAUGAAUCACUAAAAAUGAAAUGAUCGAAUGUUUCUUGUUGUACUUUGCAAUAUAUAUUUAGAGAGUUAAUUAACUGCUGGUCGUUGACAUUAAACUCAUCUUAAUUAAAGCAUGAAAAACAAUACAAAUCUCUAAUUAUUACUUAUUAGAGUGGAUGAAUGAUCAUUUAAUUUUGAUCACAUCACCUUGAUUAAAGUCACUCAUUAAUAUAAUUGACUAAUGGGUAAUUAAUCUUACAAUGUCUUGCAUUUCCGUUCGCCUAAAAAUAUAAAAUCAUUAUUAAUAAUAAAAUUAAUUAAUAGUCAAUUAAUCGCCUAAAAUUCAGAUAUGCGGAAGUCAAUUUAUAUUUAUUCGGGUGUCUGGAUAUCCAGAUCUGGAAUUUUUAAACGGAUUCGGAUUUUAACGGUGGAUUUUCCAGAUAUCCGAAUUCGUCCGAAUAAAAUCCGGAUAUCAAUUUAGAUAUCCGAAUCUGAAUAGUCAUAUACUCAUAUUCAAAAAUGCAGAUUUCGAUAUACCAUUUACAAGUUUAAGAGAGAUACCAUCCGUUAUGAAAAAAAAAUUCAGCCCAAACAUACAUCUCUUGCGGGCCUGCGGCAAAGUGUAUAUAUAUUAGUUGGAUUAUGGAAUAUGGGCCAUCUCAACCAUUAAAUUAUUUGAAACAAGGCCCAUUGGACUUAUUUAGGAUUAAAAUAGCACAAGUAAUAUCAGUUGGGAAUUGGGAUCCAGAUUGUGUAUCGGUAAACAUGUACCGCUAAACAUGUACCGCUGUAUGCCUGUACGCGUGUAUUAAUAUUUAAUAAUAUAGUUGACGCAUGAUUUAAAGAUUUUACCAAGCAAACAUUCAUUCAUCAAUAAUUUAAUCAUGAACAGGAAUUAAAUAAUGUUUUGUAGAUGUAAUUUACGCCUAAUGAAUAAGAAAGAGUUGAAGCAAGAGCAAGUUGAAAAUAAAAUGGUUAUUUUCGUUUACGACCCUCAAACAUUGGGGGUAUUUACAAUAAUGUAAAUAUGUAAUGGUUAUUUUUAGACCAUAGAUGAUAAUGACUACACGUAGUUGUUGACCCAUUCAUUGAUUGGGGUUGCUGGUUGCACACCUGGGCGGUGGCCGGUGGGUGGGAUUGUGGAAAAUGAGCAUUCAAUCCUGAUCGUGCGAUUACGAUCGUACAGCUAAAACAUCGAGUGGGAUUCUUGAAUUUCCUGUCAUAUUCAAGUAAUAGCAGAAUAUACGGGUUGAAACAAAUGGAAUCAUGACACGUCAUUUUAUUUUAUUUUAUCCGGUCAACAUUUGUUAUUAAAUAAAAGGCAAAUCAAACAAAAGUCAAAAAUAAACGCAAACAGUAGAAGACUGAUUCAAACUUAAAGACUUUCCACCCCCUUUUCAGUAGUGCCCUCACCCGCGUUUGCACCUUUUCAUACUUGUUUAUCUUUGUCCCCGUCGCUGGAGAAGAAGGGUUGGAAGAUGGGCUGCUGUAUUUCGAGAAGAACCCAGUUCUUAGAAGCUGACAAAGACGUGGUUUUCCCUCAGAAAAGAGGAGGAAGACGAUAUGGGCAUGACAAUCAUCUGGUGGUGAGUGAUCAGGCCUGCAAAGAGCAUAACACCGACGAGCUUGCUUUGAUCGAUCAUGGAAAGCCCGGAUCGGCAAGGGUAGGGUUUUGUUUUCUUCUUCUUCUGUGUUUAUUUAUUUCUAUUCUUACUGGGUUCUGACUAUAUAUGUCCACUUUCAUCAAUUAUCAUCACGAACAGCAGCUGGGAGUUUGUUCGUUUGGUUUUAUUUUGGAAUUGGGUAUAAUUUUUUUUUUAAUCUUCAAGGUUACAGAAAGCUGGCGUAUAGGAAAUCUGAAUUUCGUUAUCUUUAUUGUGAUUACAGAGUAUUGUUUAUAGUUGAUUGAGAUUACAGGAAUUGCCAACUAAUCUAAUUGCUAACUAAUCUCUAACUGUCUGUUAGUUAUUGUUAACUAACUAUCCAGUCUUGUAGACUCACGUGAGUGGUCUAACACAAAACUAUCUAGUCUUAUUUAUUUCUAUUCUUACUGGGUUGUGGCUAUAUAUGUCCACUUUCAUCAAUUAUCAUCACAAACAACAGCUGGGAGUUUGUUCGUUUGGUUUUAUUUCGGAAUUGGGUAUAAUUUUUUUUUUAAUCUUCAAGGUUACAGAAACCUCGUCGAUUCUAGGGAGAGCUGGCGUUUUUGGUCUGGACAAAGCUGUGGAUGUCUUGGACACACUUGGUAGUAGUAUUACCAGCAUUAAUUUCACACAAAACUCUGGAUUUUUAAAUGGAGUUGCAUAUAGAGGGAACAAACUAGUGUCAAUUUUAGCAUUUGAGUUUGCAAAUACAAUUGGCAAAGCUAAAAAUCUUAUGCAAUCCCUAUCGGUGAACAACAUCCGCAUCUUGAAGACCGAAAUUCUUCCGUCAGAAGGCAUUCAACGUCUCGUAUCCAAGGAUCCCAAGGAAUUACUAACCAUUGCCGCUGCCGACAAACUGUGAGUUGCUGUUUUUUUGGUGUUUUUGAGAAAACUAGAUGAUUAUGAUGAUCAGUGUUUUGUUUCAUUUAACAGAGACGAGUUUCGUAUGUUUUCGGUAGAAGUCGGUAGAUUCGGGGAUAUGUGUAAAGAUCCUCAGUGGCAUAACUUGGGUCGAUAUUUUGAAAAGUAAGAAGGUAGUCUGAGAUCAUCAUUUUAUUUUCAAAUACUAAGAUGAGAUUUUUUUUUUUCCAUAAUGAAUUUGCCAUUCAUAUAUAAUGCAGAUUAGAUUCUGAUCCAACACCAAGAGAAAAGUUAAAACAAGUUGCAGAGAAAACCAUGGAACAACUCAUCAUUUUAAGCCAGAAUACCUCGGUAAGUACUAAGUAGUUCUCCAUGGAAAGAGAGUAAUGUCUUCUUCUUUACCACCGGGAUUUGGCCUACAACAUCUGUUUUUUUACCAGGAACUUUAUCACGAAUUGCACGAACUUGACAGAUUAGAGCAAGAUUCUAAAUUGAGGAUUAAGGAGGUGGAAUCUCUUCCGAGUAGUCAAAAAGAAGAGUGUUCAUUUGAUCUGCAGAGUGAUUUGAAACAACAGAAAAAGAUUGUGAAGAAUUUGAAAAAGAAAUCACUUUGGUCUAAGACCUUGGAAGAGGUAGACUAUAGAUUUGUUAUUGAGAUUUUCCUAAUGCCCAAAUGAAUUUUUAUGUUCGAUUGAUGUUCAUGUGGAAAUUCUUUUGAUUUUAGGUUGUAGAAAAACUGGUCGAAAUUGUUGUCUUCCUACAUAGAGAGAUUUUGUAUGCAUUUGAUCUCAGCAGUAGCAAUUUCAUCGAUGAUGAGGUAAAUCAGAAUCUGCGGAGAUUGGGUUAUUGCGGUCUCUCACUACACUAUGCUAAUAUCAUCAACAAGAUCGAUAGUAUUGUAAGUUUCAACUAUUUUUCGAUUUCUCUGACAAAGUUAUAUCAUCAAUAAAUAUUGGCCGGAAACUUAUGUCCGUAUAUUAUCAGGUGUCUCGGCCAAUGGCUCUACCUCCAAACACAAGGAACAUGUUGUAUCGUGGUUUGCCAGUAGGUGUAAAAGCUUCUCUUCGUUCACGUCUACUCUCAUUUCAUGUUGACAACGAUGAUGAUGAUGAAAGGGUAGGUAUACACACACGGGCAUUCCCUCUGUUUUUUAAUGUUUUUUCCCUUCCUAAUAACUUUGGUUAUUUCAAAAAUCUGUAGCUUUCUGUUUCAAAUAUCAAAGCUCAAAUGCAGAAAAUUCUUCGCUGGAUAUUUCCGAUGGCCGAGAACACGAUAAGGUAAUCAUCUCAUUAAUUGUUUUCUUCAUCAUCGUAUUUUUUCUUAUACUUUUUUCCGGUCUGAAAUUUUCAGAGCACAGCAAGGAUUUGGUUGGGUUGGAGAAUGGGCAAACAAAAGGUUUGCGUCACUUGCAUUUUUUUAAAAAUGAGAAAACCGGCAAGCAAUAUAAUUCUAUGAAUAAAUGUUUUUCAGCUUUGAGGAAAUUGACAUGAAGUCCGAGGAACAGAACAGUAUGUCCCGUAUCGAAACACUACAUCACGCCGACAAGGAGAAAACCGAAGAAUACAUACUAGAACUAGCUGUUUAUCUUCAUCACCUCAUCGACCAAGUGAAGAACAAAGGAUAUGGAUUCUAUGCAGGGAGCACCGUCGAAAAAUCCGUCUUGUCAUCACCAGAAAGCACCAAAUCACUCCUGAUUUCCAGAGAAGAAACUCAGCUUCUAGAAGCUGUUGAAUACAUCAAAGAACCUGUUCUGGUAAGAAGUAAAAGUGUCGAUUUUAGUGAUCAAACAACGGACAUGUUAAUGCAGAAAACCCGCCUUAAGAUUAGCCGGAGUGUUGGUAGUUCUCCAAUGAGAGAGUUCAGAGAAAGAACUCUAUCUAUGUUACUUCGAUUCGAAAGGAGAAAUAUUUUGGAUGUCAUUGAUGGAGUACAUUUUCGAUGACUUUUUUUAUCUUGUUUGCUCUUAUUUUUUAUGUACAUCAUCAUCUCUGACUCGAUUGUUCUUCACUUCUUGUUCAUACUUCAUAGAUAGAUCAUAGAUAUGCACUGUAAUUCUAAGCUUGUGAAUAUAUAAAAUAAAUUGAUUGUAACUCGUAACCUGAAUCAUCCAGUCAUUGAAAAUUCUAUGAUAGAAUGCGGCUGGAUCCUUAUAUCUUCAAUAUUCGAACCCAUGGAAUUGGGUAUCAGAUCUUGUAUGUCCAUGAAUUCAAAUUAGAGUUUAAUGUAUAUCUGCCACGUGCCUAGUGUAUAUAUAUAUAUUGGGCGUAUUUCAGACGUACUUUAAAUGUGCCUCUGUGCGUUAUCAAAUCGUUUCCAUUAAUAUUUAAUUCAAUAAUUAAAAUAAUAUACUACACAAGACAUUAAUACAUGUAUGAUGCAAAAGAAUGUAUUGUACAACGUAAAGUCGAUCUAAUAAACAUGAUUAAUUUGACGUAUUUCAACGUCGAGACACCUAAUAAUUACUCUAUAUAUAUUACAGUAUGCAUUAGAUUUAGACUUAUAUUUUUUGAUUUUUUCUUUAUUUUCACCUCAUAGUUUUCUUUGUUUUAUAGUAUUUGACCUUGUUACUACAAUCCACUAAGAUCCAUCUCUUCCACAAGGGGGAAUCGCUCUCAUUGCAAUGUCUAUUGUUAAUAAUGAUAUUUCAACUAUACACAUACAUGAUCAGAAACACAAGAAGAUUAGAUCAGUUGGUCACGGUAAUUAUUAAUUAGGUUGCAGAUGAUCAAAAUUUUAUUCUCGUCAUGUACGUAAUUUUUAUUUAAUUUUCACUGCUACUAUUUUUUUUUUUAAAUAAGUUGUUUUAUAUAUUAAAAAAUUAAAGUCUACAGAAGUUCAACACACAAAAAUAAUUAAUUUAAAUAUAGUUAUACUUACUUUCUAUUUACCUUUUAUCUAAAAAGACGGGUUUGCCCGACAGUUAAUCAAUCUUAACUUCCUUCUUUCACUCUGUUGUGGAUCAGCAACUGAAAAACAUCACAUUGAUGCAAUAACCUCUCUUUCGCGUUCUUCUUGUGUGACUUUUUAAAUUUAUUUUCUUUGAAACCGAUUUCCGUCGAUCUGAUGCAUUCCCUUAUGAUCAUUUCCUACGAGGUUGAGAUUCCUUCAUGGUGACGUUAGUUUCUCUCCUUCCAUAUGUGAAACAGUACGAAACCAAACAUUAUUGUCCAAUGUAAUCCCCAGUACUUUGAUCCAGGAGUGAUUUUCUUAAUUUCAUGAGCCAUGAUUUCAAAAUCCUCAAUGUCUUGUGUAUUCAUCAAUCCACCCGUUGUAUGAAAGCCCUCCUUUAGCAUUCACCUCGCGAACCUGCAUUUGAAAAAAUCAUGAGAAUUGCCUCAGGUUUUUCACCGCAUAAUACAUAAUCUUCUGCCACACUCAUUCCUCUACGUCUCAGUCUAUCCCUUGUUGCUAUGCUGCCCCUCCGUUUGUCUCCCUUAGUGUAUCUAUUGCAUUUGCAAAUGAUGGCCGACUGCCAUCCCUCUUCCACUGAACUGUUCGUUUUGAUGUACAAUCCACACAUUUGUUUAUGUUAUUUUCACGUUGUCGCAAGACCUCCCUCCACAUGGCCGAAUGAUUAUAGCGUCUCGAGAUAUUAUUUAAGGCUUCUUCUUUGAUGUCACUACAAGAAAACAGGGCUACGUUUCGUUUUAAGUAUUUUAACAAAUUUAAGUCAUAUUAUUUAUUUUUAUUUUUAUAGGCUAAUUAUAAUGAGCUCCAAAGAAAUGCUAUGGAAGCCGCUAGUGUUGAGAUCAACUUAUCAAAUGGAUCACACACUUCCUGAUAAUUUAGAAUUAUGGGUGAAAAUUACUGAGGGAAAAAAAAGGUUGUGUGCUUGGAACCAAAGCAAGUGAUCCAAUACCAUUACCAAAUCCUACGUACUAAUAUGACGACUUCACAUAACACAAACGUCAGAUUUUAUAAAAAUUCAACGACAAAAAAAUAAAGAAGAGUUUGAUCUAGCAGUCCAAGAAAUCAUUCGAAAACAAAUGCCGAAUAUACUUAAGGAAGUAAGGGGAAGACUUACGUUGAAAGACGAUUGAGGUAAUUAGCAUUUAUAUAUAUAUCAUUCAUAUUUUCUUGGUAAUUUCAAUUUUUUUUCAUUAGGGUCAGUCGAGCCAAGGACACGACAACAUAAUCACGUCUAUUACAAGAGAUUCGAAUGUUGAAAAUGUUGGCAAAAGUGCGACUAAUAGCGUGACUGGCACCAACAAAUAGGUUUCUUUUUUUUUAUAUUUGGUUUGGUUUUCUUUUGAAUGACAUUAAUUGUAUGAAUUGGUUAUAUACAUUUUUUGAAUGGUAUGGAAUUGAAUUGAAUGGCAUGAUUGGUUAUAUGGAAUUUGUAUGGAUAUUUUUGUAUGUUUGAAUGAAAUUUCCAUGUUGUAUGAAUGAAAUUUGUAUAAAAUUUAUACAUUUGAAUGAAAAUUAUAUGUUUGAAUGAAAUUUUCAGGUUAUAUGAAUGUGUAAGACCUUACAAUAGGCGUCUUCUAACAUUUAAAUAUUUCCUGAAAUUAGCCACUGCCUUUUUCCAUUUAUCCACUGAUUUUGGUCGUGACCUUUCACUUUUCUCUCUGUUUCAAGAAUUUAGCCACGGUCAAUAAAAAAUUAGCCACUGAUUUUGGCUGUGACCCUUCUUUUUUCUCUCUAUUUCAAGAAUUUAAUCACGACCAAUAAAAAAUUAGCCACUGAUUUUGGCCGUGACCUUUCAAAAAUUUAGUCACGGCCAAUAAAAGAUUAGCCACUGAUUUAUGCCGUGACCCUUCAUUCCACAAAAAAUAGCCACGGCCAAAAAAAUUAGCCACUGAAUUAUGCCGUGGCUAAUUUUUUUAAAAAAUUUACCUGAUCAUCGAUUACCAAAAUUAAAUGAUCGUAGUUAAUUUAGUGGCCAAAAAUCAUUUCCGUGACAAAAAAUCAGUAGCCACCAGACCUACAGCCACGACGCCUCUCGUGGCUAAAUCAAUUUAGCCAGUGAUCUUGGUCGUGAUUGUUUCCCUGUUUUCUUGUAGUGUGUCCCUUAUUUUCAUCCAAUCCCCCCCAUAUGCCCUCGUCCAUCCACAACCUGCAUAGUUUGUCAACUGUUGCGGGCACUUGAAUGAUUGGAAGUCCUUUACCCCUAUGCCACCUUUUCGGGUCGAUGUUUAAUCAUCAUUGACCAAACGACUUCCUUCUGGUGUCCCCCAUAUGAACCUGUAAGCUAGGGAUUUUAUUGUUUGGAUUGUAACCUGCGGAACUCUACUAGUUUGCAUCUCAAAUAUCCAAAUUUUCCUUGGAAGACCUAAUCCACUAAUUGUACUCUUCCCAUGUACAAUAAUUUUUUUUUGUUCCAUCUUGUUAGAAUGUCAUUAGAUCCGCUAUCAAAAGAUCACAAUUCCUAUUUGAAAUGGACUUUUCGGUGAGUGGUACUCCCAGGUAUUUUAGCGGCAGCUGUUUUUGUUAAAAUUCUAGUAUCGCAGUUAGAGUCGCUCCAUCUCUUACUCUCUUCGAGAAAACUACGUCGAGCUCUUUUCCUUAUUAAUUUGGAGUCUCGAGAAAAAUGAAAAUUCCUCUAGUAUAUCAUUCAAUUUGGUUAAGGUUUUCGUCGAUGAUCGGUAGAAGAAAACGAUAUCGUCUGCAAAGACUAAAUGACUUUCUAUCAGUAUAUCUCUCGAAGUGUAUAAUUCCAAUUCCCGAUCAACUACUUUCUAUCAAUAUAAAUUUUCACUCCUAUAUAAUCUAUAUGAUCGAUGAUAUAUUAUUUUGUUCUGACAUGUCAUCAAAGGUUUUUUUUUUUACAUGUAGAAUGUUGACCCGUUAUCAAAAAAAAAGUAUAACAAUUGGCCAAUUUAUUAGAUCGACUCAAAACCGAUCUGAGAAUUGUGAUUGAAGAUGCACCGGACUCCUCAAACAUUAAUUAGGCCUUCUUGUCACAAGUAGAACGAACACAAGGACGACAAUAUUGUCUCAAUGUUACAACAUGAUCAGGAAUUUUAAUAAUAACUAAAAUCAGUUGACAAAUGAUUAGACGACCAAUUAAUGAACAUGCAUGCAUGCAUGCAUGCAUACGUAAGUACAAGUUAAGUAAUUGGGUUAGUUAGAGUCAAAGACAACAAAGACUUAUUUUGAUCUGCUCCUCUUUCUUCCUCCUAAUCCAUUGAUGAAGUCUCUAUAAAUAUUAUUCUCAUCUUCUUCCAAUAUAUAAUAUUCCAAUUCAUUCCAUUCCAUUUCAUCGAUUGAUCCGAUUCUUUAGUACAUCAUCCACCCGAUCGACCAUCCAUCAAAAUUUGAUAAAAAUGGAGUCUGCAACUUUGAUGUACUGCUGUUUCUUUUUCCUCUUCCUCUCACUGACCACCAGGGCGGAGGCGGAGGCGGACGCGGCAGUGGGGUCGAUAGAGAGAACCAUUAAGCAGCAAAUCCUGGCUACUAUCGAACCCAAUUCGUAUGAAACUGUCCCCAAACCCAUCUUGACUUCUUCACUGGGAAACUACGCUGUGUACUUCCUCCGCCGUCCCACCGUUCCCGGUGCUGGGGGAUUCGGCGGUGACUUCUGCUAUAUUGAGGUGCAAGACACCAGAACGCAUCAAUCCGUAUGGGAGUCGGAGUGCAAUCCGAUAACCACUGUCAAUACUUGCUCUCUAGUGUUCUCCGACCAGGGGUUGGAGGUGUUCGAUGGGAGUCGAUCGGCAUGGGACACUGGAGUCGACGCUGAUAAUCCUUUGCAGACUUUGGAGCUUGUCGAAGAGGGAGACAUGAGGAUCAGAGAUCAAAGUGGCGAGUUGGUGUGGAAAGCUAGCGACGAUCCACGUAGCAACCAGGUAUGAUUGUAAGAUUGUACCGUAGUAUGAAUAAUGAUCGAAUUGAUGUAAUUUCAAUUCCCCAACGUAGUCACGUUACUAACUAUCAUGUGUUUGCUCUCUAUCAGGAGUGUGGCUCACUUGGAUCACCAGGCUUGGCUAAUGUUCUACCUCCAUUCGCCUCUCCAGUUGACACCGGUAGACAGAAUAACUUUGGAUCACCGGUAACCUUUGGCGGAAAUACACAGCAGCAAUUUCAGCCAAAGCCGGGUGUCGGCAGCUAUGGUGGACAGCCUCUUGUUGACAGCACUCCGUUCGACAGUGGAAAUUCCAAGGUUGUUGCCAACAUGGCUAAGAUUGUAUUGUUGGCCAUGGGGAUCAAUGAGCUUCUCUUUUAAUUCUGGGUGUUGUUAGUUAACUGUAAUGUAACUGCGACAUAGACACUGCACUUGUGUUGUUUGUUUGCUUAAAUUCUGGUGAUUUGUGUUUUUAUACUAUUACAAUUUACAAUACAACGUAAUUUAUUGAUGUAAACAGAAAAUAAUUAAAUGUCAUGAAUUAUUAUUAUAUAUAGAUCGAGAGCAUGUAUGUAUUUUAUGUUUCAAAAUAAAUAAAUUAAAUUAAAUUGAGUUUUUGAUGUAGAUAUUCAAAUUACAGGAUUCGCAAUCAACUGCACACAGUAACUAAUGAGUAAGUCACUCUCUAACUAAUGCUAUCUAUGUUAAUUAAAGACUUAAACUGGCCGGAGUGCGUCGUCGCCUUCAUGGUUUUCAUCCAAAUUCAUGGUUUACAUCUACUGGCAUCCUUUCAUUACUGCAGUAAAAAGCGUAAUUAGUGAGAAGGGAUGCACAUUUGAAUAAAAUAUUGAAAUAUCGCAACUCAAAAAAAUGGAGCUAAAUAUGAAAAUAAAUGCAGUAUAGAUAUCGAUCAAAUUUAAGUUCAAGAAUGAAUGUAAAUUUAAGAGUAUAAUUAAGCUUUACAGGAAAACUUCAGCUCAAUUCUAGCCUCUAUAUAUUUUAAUCAAGUGCACCAUAAAAAAAAAAGCUAGAGCCUUAAAUCCUUAAUGAAUGAUUAAGGUAGGGGUGAAAAGUUACUUAGAAAAUGCAUGGACAUUAAAGUGUUCUGUGAGCAAAAUCACUGUCACUAACCUUUGGAGAAGUUCUUAUUGACGAUUUGAUAACUUUAUAUCAACUUCUUCACCAUGGGAACUGCAAUUUUCCAUCAUGUUUUUUCCAACAUCAUCGGUCUCUCGACAUUCUUCUGUUUUGUCAUUCUUCUGAAAUAAAUUUGCCGAACUCGCUACAAUAUUCCUGUUAUGAUCCUUAUUUGAAAACUGCAUUGCUGCAGCUCGUGCACCAGCUAUGGCCGCAGUAAGACUAGACGAUCCUUCAAUUCUUGAUGAUUUUGAGACGGCACUGGAAUUUUGAGGGUUGGACAAUGGGAACUUUACUGGUAAAGGACCUUGGACUGGAUAAAGGCCUCUAACAGCUGCUUCAAAAACCUAUAGGAUAUGGCACCAAAAUAUCGGUACAGAAGAUUAAGCUCAAUUUUUGUAUAUUAUGUUUUGACUUAAAAAAUCAAUACCUUAUUUUCCAAGUUAUAAACACGUUGAUAUCCCCUCAUCUCAAAGGGUACCACCAAUUUCUACAUUAUUUGAUAAAUUACAUUUAAAACCAUUGUAAAAAUGCAAGAUUUGAUAAAAAAGUUCAUUAGUUGGAAAAUGAAAAAUCAUUAAGUUGCCAAUUUGGAAGUGUACUAAGACAUGAUAUUGAAAGGGGGGGGGGAAGAGAAUUAGAAGCAUACCUUUGGGUUCUCACAGAGCCAGCAGAACUUCGUCUGACCUUCCAAUCUUACCUAUAAAUUAUUUACUAUUAUCAAAAUGCAAAAGAUAUACAGAAAGACAGACCAGACCAACAUUAUUUGAUACCAAACAAGUAUGCAACAAGAGAAUAUGUCCCUACCGAUUCAGGCACAUCCUCCCAGCAAACAAGCUCUUCACAUGUCACACAACCAACUAUAUCAACACAUCCUAGAGGAGUAGAGGUAGAAAAGUUCAUUCAAAUGUUCAAUAAUAAUUUAACAAACAAUCCAUUCAAGCAAAGUAAAGACUUGAAUUAACGCAAAUGAUUCAAGAGUGAAUGAAAAUAUCAACUGAAAUUGAAAUCGACAACAAAAAAGAAGAUUCAAUCUUAAAGCAUAUCAUUUAAAUAAAAAACAUAACAUCUGCAAAUAGAUUAACUGAUGUUUAAAAUGUCAGAUUUCAAAAAUCACUAACAAAUUUAUGAAUUUUCUCAAAAACGGCCUAAGAAUUCCAAUCUUAGAAUAAGUUUGCAAACAGUGUUUGGUGUUUGACUAAUAUGAGAAACAAUUAGUCAAUCAGAUGCUAUACUUCAAAUAGAAAUGAAAACACUCAAAAUAUGAGAGAUUUAUCGUGCACCUAAGAGUCGUGAAACAGGAUAAUGCUCUGGAAAUUUGAGAUCGGUGAUCCCAUUCAAACUAUAAAUUUCACUGUAGAAAUUUUCCAUUGCUUUAAUUGUUUCAGGUUCAGGAUGUUUUCCAGCAGCAUGUAUCCAAAGACGCCCUGAAAAGAUUUUACCAAAUCAUCAUACAAAAAUAGAAAUCCCCAAAAACACAAACCCUAAACACCGGCAUCAUAAAGAAGUGAAAUUCAAACUAUACACAGUAUACGAUAUAGCAAAUCCCAUAAAAGAAAUAACCAUUUACAAAACUAGGUUCUUUAAACACCUGUAAUAGGAGCUGGCCAGGAUCGUCCCUCGAUCCUUUUGAUGCCUUGAAGAAGCAAUGAUGCCCAAGGCUGAUGCAUCGUUAUACAUGGAUUCCGAAGAACACCCCUUCCAUGGUUGCCAUCACCUCUGUUCCUCCCAUUCAUCUCUCCAGUUCUUCUCAUUUUAAUAUUUACUGCACGGCUAAGCGAAUCAGCGAUGAUUCAAUAGAAACUGGUUUAGUCCUUUUUCAUGAUUAUUGAUUUAUUGUUAUUGAAUCAUUGAUUAUGAAAUAGAACUAAAAAUAAUAAAAUCCUAUAAAUAGUUAAAUAGAUUUAUUUAAAGGGUCAUAAUUCACAAAGUCACAACAGUAAAUUAGGAUCCAUUUAUAAUAGUAAAUAAAAGAAAUAUUUUCUUACUAAAUUUCACAUAUCUUUUUGACAUUUUGCAAAAAUAUUUAGAAUUGAUUACUUUUGGUCGACCUACCAAUUACUUGGGAAUUUCGUUUAGGGUUUACUAAUUUAUAAUGAAAUCAGAGUUUAAAUAAUUUGAUAUAAACAAACCAUCUGCAGCUUGAAGGUUAAAACUUAAAAUCCCUAAAACAGAAAAUUAGAAAAACCCAAAAUCCAAAUUCCCCCAUCUCCUCGUUUUUUAUUUUUCCUCUAAGUCUCCACUUUCGUUCUCUACUGCUCUUCGCCCCUCCCAUUUUCUACUUUUUGUCUUCCUUUCUUCACCUAUUCUUCCCUAUCAGACUAGCUAUUUCAUUUUAGUUCUAACAGACGGUUCUAAUUUUCUACCGGAGAUUAGUUAUUGUUCAAAGUACAAGCAAUCAGUUUCAAACAAGGUUAUUAAAUUUUUUUCAGACAAGGUUAUUAAAUUUUAGAUUUAUGACUGCUGUUACUCAUUUUGAUUGUUAUGUUCUUAUUAUUCGUUUACAAAUUAAAAGAUUGUUACUUUUUUUCUAUUUUUUUACUGUCACUUAUGAAUUAUGAUCAUUCACUUAUUGUUUUUAUGCAAUAUGCAUACAAUUGUUUUCAGAAAUUCCUUUCUGAUCGAGUGAUUGUUAUCAAUUUGAGCAUCUCCUCAAUUUCAAUAUUAUUCUAGGUAUGUUGAUUUAAUUUUGGUAUUUAUAAUAAAAUUAUGCCAAGUAUAGAGUUGGCGAUCGAUUAGUUGUUUGAAAGGAUGACUGUUUUAUAGGAUUUAUUUGAAAUACAUUGAUAUUUCAAACUUCUCAUUGAUAGGUGGAAGCUCAAAUCCUAGUUCCUGUAAUUUCUCAGACUAUAUUUUUCUCUCAAUUAUUUUAAUAAUUGCAAACAUUAUGCCUUUUUGUUUCUUUUUUUGUUAGUGGAUUGUAUUAUCCAAAAAUAAAAGACGUACUUGAAUGUUUGAUUCGGUGCUAUGUCUGCUGUGUGUUUCUUAUUACACUGUUAUUUUAUUAGUCGGAUUAUUUAAAUUUAUCUCUUAGAUCAUUGUCACUCCCAUAAGUCCUCUCUCAACUACGGGAAGAGAAAGGGAAGAAGACGAUGGCCAUCGUGAAAAUCUCCCAUAUUUAUAUUUAAUGCAUUAGAUUUCUUUGAUUUAAUCUGAUAGGUGAAAAUAGAAGAGGGCAGGAAUGGAUUCUGUUGUUUUGGACGACAUCAUCCGGCGGUUGCUGGAAGCAAGGAAGAGUAGAUCGGGGAAACCAGUGCAGCUUUCUGAAGAAGAGAUAAUACAGAUUUGUCUUGCUUCUAAGGAUAUUUUCAUGCAUCAGCCCAAUCUACUCGAACUCAAUGCGCCUAUGAAAAUCUGCGGUGACCCUUUUUUUCUCAUAUAAUUAUUUGAUAUUCUUCACAACUCAUUUGUUAUAUAAUUCUUCAUUUGAUAUUUUCCAUCCAUUAGGUUAUGAGCUAAUUCUACCAUUUCCUCGUCAUCCACUGAACCGUGUUAUUUUAAUAAUGAUCGAAGUAACUGGUUUUAAAUUCAGUUGAUACAAUUUCAGACUCAGUUUUUGUUUUGCAAAAAAUUUCAGACUCAGUUUGCAUGUAUGUAACUUACUAACUUGACAGAUUAUUUUUGUUUUAUUACGACAGGUGAUAUUCAUGGACAGUAUUCUGAUCUUCUCAGGCUUUUUGAAUAUGGUGGGUUUCCACCUGCAGCCAAUUAUCUAUUCUUAGGGGAUUACGUUGAUCGAGGAAAACAGAGCUUGGAGUCUAUAUGUUUGCUUCUAGCUUUUAAGAUCAAAUACCCAAAUAACUUUUUCCUUCUUAGAGGGAAUCAUGAAUGUGCAUCUAUCAAUCGGAUUUAUGGGUUUUAUGAUGAAUGCAAAAGAAGAUACAACGUAAAGUUAUGGAAAUCUUUCACAGAUUGUUUUAAUUGUUUGCCUGUGGCUGCUUUGAUUGAUGAGAAGAUUCUCUGCAUGCAUGGAGGUCUUUCUCCAGAUUUGCAUAAUUUGGAUCAAAUAAGGAAUCUAUUACGUCCUACCGAUGUGCCAGACUCAGGAUUCCUUUGUGAUCUUCUUUGGUCGGAUCCUAGCAAAGAUGUUGAAGCAUGGGGAAUGAAUGAUAGGGGCGUCUCUUAUACCUUUGGUUCUAGUACUGUCGAUAAGUUCCUUGAGAAGCAUGAUCUAGACCUUGUAUGUCGUGCUCAUCAGGUUUGAGGCAGCAACCUUCUUAAUUAUGUGAUUAUUAUUAUUAUCUCAUAUAUCUGUGUAAUUUUUAUUCUUGAGAGAAUAUAAUUUGUAUAUUUUCCGCAGGUUGUAGAAGAUGGCUAUGAGUUCUUUGCAGAAAGAAAACUUGUUACGAUAUUCUCUGCUCCCAAUUAUUGUGGGGAAUUUGAUAAUGCCGGUGCUAUGAUGAGUAUAGAUGAUAGUCUGAUGUGCUCGUUUCAAAUUCUGAAACCUUCCGAAAAGAAACUAAGGCAUGAUUUUGGAGGCACAACAACAUGCACAACUGGAACACCUCCGCUGAGCUUCAAGGUACAAUGAACUUGAUUAUUUCCACCCUAAUCUUCAUCAUCUGUAUUUUGUUGUUUUUUCUAAUAAGUAAUAACUUUGACACAUUUUGAUCUCAGUCUUUCGUUGGUCAAUAGUGUAAGGAUUGGUGAUGAAGUAUGUUAGGAGCCAAAGCUUGUUGAUAAAUUGAAGAAUUUUUGCUCCUCCAUAUAUACAAGGAGCAAGAAGCAGAGGGUGGCUCUGCAUGUAAUUUAACUGGUUUAUAGAUUUGUAAUAGAAUUAGCAGUGAUAUGUUCGAAACUCAUUUGGUAUCAAAUCACUGCAAUAUUAGCAUCAUCAUUUAUCAGUGAAGGAUAAGAUACAAUUUUUUUAAUUGAUUCUUCUUCUGGCUAGCACACUUAUUUAAUUACCAACUCUCACAACUCAUUAUUUACUAGUGUAUCACUGAAUUAUUUCAUUAUAAAUUUAGGCAUUAUUUUAGCUUCGUAUUUGCGUGCAUUCAGUAUUUCACUCAGUUUUUAAUACCAUCAGGAUUGUUGAACCUGUUGUUAUAACAUGGGAUAUCACAGGAAUGAUGAUUUUCAAUGUUUAUACCACCAUAAUUUUCUUUGUCCUCUACCAUCUGAUCAGGCAUCUGCUUAUCUACCAUGUCAAAUUCAUCCUUCUGCAAGAAAUUUCUUGGUGCAGCAGCAGCAGUUAGAAAGGAGGAUGUAGCUAUGGAUAUCAUCAUCACCAUAACGAUACCAAUCGCCAUCUUGGCCAUUUUCUUCUUUAGUUCUAUUUACUGAUCAGCAGUCAGCAAGACAGUAGCAGUAUAUAUAUGACCUGCAUGCAGGAAUAAAAUCAUAAGUAAUAAAAUCUAGGAAUUGAAGCUAAGUAGAUAAAAAAAAUGUAGAGCUGUUGAUUGUUACCCAAGAAAUGGCUGAAAUUAAGAUUAUUUGUAUGAUGGAGGACUGCAAAUCCAGUAUAUAUAUAUAGUCGACUCAUAGUGCGAGGUGCGAUUCGAUUAUCGAAAAUGAAUCGAUGCUUAUAUUGAGGAUGUACUGUAAUUUUGGUUUGAUGAUGUAAAAAUGCAUUAAAACACUAAUGUAUGCAGUUCCUGGGUGGAUGAAUGAUCAGGUGAACACCUUUGAUUAAAAUAAAUUUAGGGUUUAGGGUUUAGGGUUUGUAGAUAUAUAGACAACGUACUAAAUGCAGUCAUAUAUGUAGACAGUAGUAGACUUAUUCAUCCCACCAUCCUUAAUUAGUGCACACCUGAAUCUUUCUCUCAAGGAAAAGACAGAUUUGCAAAAUCAAUCAAUCAAUCAAUUGAUCUAUAGAUAAAUAUUCUUAGGGUUUGUGAAUUAUGACAACAAUUUUUUUCCUUGAUCUCUAAUUUUACCUUUAGCAAUUCCCAUAUUGGAAGCAACUUGUUAUCUCAUAGUCUGAUUAAACCACAAAUUACAGAUAUUUACUGAUCAGUAAGAUUGAAAUUACUGGAGGACAAUUGUCACUGAUGUUGUAACUCACCAGUUACCACUUGUAGAUGUGGACUACUGCUUUAAUUAGGGGAUCAUUGGCUGCUGAGAUAACCUAGCAAGAGAGGAUCUGCGGCUGUUCGAGAGCUAGGACUCUCCUAAGAGUUCUUAAGCUUCUCAAGCUCGAAAUUAGUGGGAUCAAGAGCUAUGCAAUAUUCUCAUCUAAGGUCAAUGAUGCAUGGUGCUCAUUUUUUUCCGGAAUUCUUAGUUUCCAGAUACGCUCGUUGUCAAUUAGCUGUCACAUGUCGUUAGGUACGGCAUUAGUAAGCCUGUAUAUCGGUUGGAUUCGGAUCGGAUAUGCAGGUAUUCGAAUCCGACCGAAUAAAAUUCGGAUUUGAAAAUUCAAAUCCGGAUAAUCCGAAUUCGAAUAAAUUAUCCGGAUUUUCGGAUAAUCCAAAUCCGGAUAACUUUAAUUAGGGUUAGAGUUAGAAUUUAAUAAUUAUAAGUCAAUAAGUUAUAAAGAUUUAUAAUUAUAACUUAGGUAAUUAGGUUUAAGUAUUUAAUGAUUUAUAAUAUAAAUAUAUAAUGUAUAAAUAUAAUAAUAUUAAUUUAUUAUAUAUUUAUACGGAUAUCCGAAUCCGGAAUUCUUAAAUAAAUUUGGAUUUUAUCGACGGAUUUCAAUUCAGGUAUCCGAAUCCGGAUAGUCAUAUUCGAAUGCGGAUUCGAAUACGAAUUUCAGUAUACCAUUUAAAAGCUUAGGCAGCAGUACUACGAUUAUCUAAUUGCCGACCUAAGUGUGUUCGUAGAAAGAUGGAAGAAAAAAGCGACAUUCUAUGGAGACCGCCGCCUUCAGCUCAAUGGGUCUUCGGAGGGACAUUUUCCUAUCUUAUGCAAAGUACAACAAUACCAAAGCACACUCUCGAUGUGAUCAAGUAGUCGUUAAUUAACCUACAAGUUUAUGUGGGUCGGGAACCCGAAAAGAAGUAGCGUACGUGAUCGAGUAUGGUAUCCCUCCAGAAAAGAAAGUGGGAUAGGGUUUCAGGACUAUGCCAUUGCCCAAAAUGCUUCUAUUCUGAAUCGUGCAAGCAGAAUCUAGCGAGAGAGUAGAGUGUGGGCGAGAUGGAUGUAGACUAGCUAAGUAUGUUAAAGGUAGGAGUCUCAACAAAAUUGAGCCAAGGCAGACAGACUCGUCGUCCAGAAAAGAAAUACUACAGACGCACUGUGAUGCGAUCGAGCGAUGAAAAAAGGUUCAUGAUCUUAUGGGAUGGGCACCGCAAAUAAUUAGUGCACUGUGAUAUAUUUUUUUAUUCAUAAUCAUAUACUAAACUGUCGAACAUUUCAUUUAAUUUUACCAAUAACAUUAUAAAAAAAUGGAAGUCUAAGGUUUAUUGACAUGAAUAGAAGUUGUAGAUUUAAUAAAUGAGGUAAAUUUCAAAUGAUAAUCCAGAAUUAGAACAUCUUAACUAUUCAUUUAUUUUCAAUUUUAACAAUAUAUGAGUGAUGAUACGCGCUUUGUAAUGACUAAAAUCAGAGUUUUCGAUUUAGUUUUCACCUGAAAUUUGGUGUAGAUUUAAUAAAUGGGGUUGGUUAAUUUCACCACAUGAGUUAAACAUAUUACUAGAGAUUUUUGUAGGAAACUAAUUGAAUAUGGACACACAAACCGUCUAAAUGUUUGAUACAUAGUGAAUGCGACAAUCUCAACCGUCUAUAUUCUUUUCUUAUUGUCUGUGGCAUGCCUGUACAGAAAGAGUGAAUUUUAUACCGAAUACGAGGAUUUAGAUGCAAAUACGUCAGUCGGAUGAAUUUUGGCCCAAUUAGUUCGCCAAUCUAGUCUCGACGAAAAAGAGGCCCCUCCAGGAAGGUUCUUGCUGGCGAUUUGACGAAACCAGUUGUGCCUCUCGUGUUCUUUGGCAGCUCUAUCCAUGUCUUCUCGUCAAUUAUUCAGACGGAUUUCCGUCUCAUCCUUCCAGAGAAUUUCCAAUCCCAUUUCCAGGGGUACUAUAUAAUCUGAAAAUAAAAUAAAAUAAAAAUGAUUUUCUUCUUCUUUGUUUCUAAAAUUAGGGGUUUUGUUCUUCAAAAUAUUAGGGUUUUUCUUUUUGGUUGCAGUAUUCUCGUCGUUCUCAUCCGAAGUUCAGAUCGGAAUUGUCAAUAAACAAGUUGAAAAAGAAGAUUCUCCUAACGAAAAAAAGUCACAUCCAUCGUCAAACACAAUCCCCAAAACCCAUUCGGCAGUUUCCAGCUUGAAGACAUCAAGCAGACAUGAUCUUGCCAUGGUGUUCACAUGCAAGGUAUGUGAAACAAGAUCAGUUAAAACCGCUUGCCGAGAGUCAUACGAGAAAGGCGUGGUUGUGGCGAGAUGCGACGGCUGCAAUAAUCUUCAUCUAAUGGCUGAUCGACUGGGAUGGUUUGGAGAGCCAGGGAGCGUUGAGGACUUGUUGGCUGCUCGUGGGGAGGAAGUGAAGAAAGGAUCCGCUGAUACCAUAAAUCUGACAUUGGAAGAUCUUGCAGGAACAGGAACAAAGACAUGAAUACCUACCUGUUCUUCAAGGUAAAUACUAAUUCAUCAUUCAGCAUCUACUAUUUAUCUGUUUUUCUUUCUUUCUUUUAAGACAGAAGAUACUAGAUAGUGAAUUAAGAAACAAUCCACAGCAAAUACAUUAUGAGAUGAUUCUUGACUCAUGACUCAAUCCAUAUUCAUAGUAUAGGUAAUUAGGUAUGUAGUUCUAUUACAAUGAAAGAGGGAAGGGGGGAAGAGGAACAGGUUUACUUUUGAUAAACAAAAUUCAGAAGAGUGACAUGAGCGAGCCUACAACAACAUCUGUCAUCUGGUAUGUGUGGAAAAUGCAUAAUUUACAUAAAUCUACCAAAGACACGGAGUUUUUUGUCCAUUUUCUCUCAUUAGUCUCAUAUUCUCGUAUAAUCUCAUAUAAAAUAUAUAGAAUGAUUAUAAAAUACUUCCGGGGGAUGCUUACUCUCAUGCAAUAUGCAAAACCAAAUCAUCCCAGACUGAUUUCUUUCCUAAGUAGAAGAAUAAGAAUGAUGGCGAUGAAUGAGGUGUUUGAUGGUAUGGUGAACUUGAGAAGCUUACUUUACUUCUUCUUGAAUGUUAUCAUGCAGAAGAAUGCCAGGAAGCGGAACAGUAUUCCGUAAAUAAAGAGGAUAAUUAUGCACAACCCCCAGUCGCCAAUGUGAUAUUCGCUGUGCUUAAGUGCUCCGCAACGGGUGAUUAACCACACACCAGAAUACCUGAAUGUAUACAUGCAUGCAAUCAGAGAGAGAGAGGGGGGGAUGAAUGAAGAAAUGAAGGGAUUUCAACCUUUCCGCAUUUGAGAUGACAAAAGCUUGCAGAGCCCAUUUUGUAUAACACAGAUUAGCCAAUAACUCCAUGCUUCCUCCGCUGUUUUCUUGAGUUGCUAUCAGUGUCAAAACAACAGGAAGCAACACGCACCACUGCGUGGAAAGUUGGAAGAAAUUCUGAGGAUUUAGAAUUGAGUGAAUUUGGUUGAUUUUUUUAGAAUUUAGAAUUAGUACCUACCAGUUGAGCUGAACCUGCUUGGAGGAAAAUGGCAAACCAAUAUGCAAUGCCGGUGACACAGUACACUAGGGAGACCAGAACAAUAUAAUUAUCUAAGAUUGAUGACCUAGGAUUGUUGAAGAAAUAAAACAUCGAUAGGUAGACUAUUGGCUUGAUGAGUGUGUUGAAAUGAUCGACUGUGUCUUUUGCCAAAAAAUAGGCCAAUGAACUCAUGCCAGCGGCGCUCUCUCUCCAAUAGUGUAACUUCUCAAGUGAAAAUGAUCUCAGAGCUCCGAUCUUGCACAACAGGGCUGCACCAGAAAAUGGCCAAACUCUUACAGUUGUAAUUAAAGAAGAAAAGAAUAUGUAUGAGAGAACAACAUCGAUCUUCAACUUACAGACAGCAAUGACAGUAUAGGUAUAACCAACUGAACCAAAAGAUUCAUCGCUCACUUUAGCGAGUGUACCUAGGCAAACUCCGGCCAGUAAUAAAAUGAUGAAAUCGACAAACUGAAUUCUUGCUUCUCGAAGACGCUGCUUGCCAACCCUAUACGUCAGAAUAUAAAUGACUGAAAAUUUGAAGGAAACAGGUAUGUGUAUUCUGAAAUUAUAUAAUCAAAGAGAGAAAGAUCGAAAACCAGCACUUGCCUUCCAAAAUAAUAUUUAUACUGGCGAAAGUAUCCUGGAGUGGUGCGAUUGGAUAAAUCGACAGGUUUGGUGAAGUUGAGGCCGAUGUUAUCCUUCUUUUUCUCCACAAUACACUUUAUAUCACCCCAGACUUCCCCAACAAUCGUAUGCACAUCUGAUUCAGGCGGAGCCUCUUCGGGGCUGGAUUUUAUCGACUUAUCUGCAGCAGAUUCAGCUCCAAGAAGAUCCAGCAUGUCUGGAGGUAUCACGUAGCCAUUGUGUUGCAUCCAUUUGAUAGGAAGCUGUUUGUAGUUCAGUCCAGAACUCACACUUGGUUUUACUAUACCCUCCAAAAUGUCGAUGUAAUAAUCCGGUGGGUUGACGCGAUCAGGGACGUUGAUGCCGAUACCUGAGAAGUAUUCUUCCACCUUUUUAACGGAUCCGUGGUAUGCAGUCAAGCCUCCUUUUGCAAGAAGGAUCAGAUCAUCGAACAUCUUGAACAAAGCGUAACUACACCCAACAGACAACCACCGUCAACUACCCAGUAUAAUUAUUGCAUAAACAAACAUACAAGUCCCAGGAAAUGUAGAAAUACGGACCUUGGCUGGUGAACCACCAACACAAUGUUCACUCCUUCACAAGCUUCUCGACGAAGAGCUCUCAGAAGCAGGUUCGAUGAGGAACUGUCCAGUCCAGACGUCGGUUCGUCUAGAAUUAACAAAGAAGGUUCCAUAACCAUUUCUAGUCCCACAUUCACUCUUUUUCUCUGUCCUCCUGAAAUCCCUCGCUUCUCAACAGUCCCGACCAAUGAGUCUCUCACGGCCUGGAGUCCUAGGGACUCGAUCACCCUUUCAAGCACCAGAACUUUAUCUGCUUUUGAAAACUCGGCCGGAAGUCUACAUCUUGCAUUGAACCAGAGAUUUUCCUCUACCGACAGGUUACCGUGCACAAUAUCGUCUUGGGGGACGAACCCGAUGAUUUUCUUGUAGGAAUGGAUUGGUUCUGGCUUUCCGUUUACAAGAACGGCUCCAGUUAUCUCGCAUCCUGUAAUUUUACCCGCGAGUGCACUGAGAAAUGUAGUUUUCCCGGCCCCUGAUGGACCCAUGACUGCAGCCACACGACCGGGCAUAAGUUUUCCGGUGACGCAUCUCAUCAGUGUUUUCCCCUUCCCUUUCAAGGUGAUCCUUAGAUCUUGGAAAGCAACUUCUAUAACAGGCCUUGUUCUCAUUUCAGUGUCAGUGGCCAUUGAUAUCACUCCGGAGAAGGUUAGAUUCUUGUUCUCCUGCUGCAAAGCUUUUUCUUUUUCGAUCUGUCCGUAGGCAUACUUGAAGAUCUGACUGCGAGUGUGCAUCUCUUUACCUUUUGGUAUGUGUUUUUUCAGGUUUUUGUCUCCAAUCUCCAAAUUAAACCCUUCUUCACCCUCUUCUGAAAUAUUACGCAUCAUCUUCGUCAGGUUGCUCUCCCCCGUCUCUCCAUCUUCUGUCGAGCUAGAACUUGGAGUCGUGUCUGCUUUCGUAGCUUCUGCCGGCGUUGAAGAUUUUUUACGAGAGAAUGUACGAGACAGCUGCGUUUGAAGUCCAGUGGUAUGUUUUCUAGCUAUAUCCUUUGCAGCUUUCCACCUCUCCCGAGCUUGUGCUGUCUCUCUAGCACUCCUUGCUGCAGCUUCUCUGGAUUUCGCAUGUUGUUUUUCCCUACUGCUCAGAACUUGAUCGGAGAAGUUGUAUAUGAUCAAGAGCAACAAUCCCAGUGACACCUAUACCAAGACAAUCCAUAUAUUCGGAAUAACGAAGACAUUUGCGGACUACCAAAUGUACUCACUCGGUUAUAACUUACUAUGAGCAGAACACCGAAGAGAGUGAUGUCUUGAUUGUCUGACAUUGCUUUGCAAGAACUCUUUUUGUAGCAUCCUGUGCGGUGCACGAAAAGUUUACUUUGUUGAUUUAUUCCUAAACAUCUUGAACGUAAAGAUAUAAAAAUGUCAGAGCUUGCUUACUCUGCAUCGUCGUCGACCCUUUCCGGCAAUAAUAUCUGAUGCGAAGAAAUAGUUAGAUCGUGUAUGUUUGAAAUGUGAAUAAAUGAAAUGACAGAAUGUAACGAAGUACGGUUCAUACCCAGGUUCACAAGGAAGUUUUUUUGUUGUUGUCGGACAGUAGUACCCUGCUGGACAGAAUAUGUCACUGUCGGUUUUGAUGUCUGCCCAAAUAUCUGCUCCCCCACAUGUAUGGUCCGGUCGUCCAGGGGGAAGCUGGUAACGGUACCUGCAUAGUUUUUUUUGUUCUAGCACAGUUUAUGAUUCGGAUGUUUAUUCCGUUGGGUUAGUUUGGAGGAUAAAAAUAACUCACGGAUAGCAUAAACCAGUCGUCCUGUUUAGCUCUCCUUUUGGACAGUAUGAACCCAAUGGACAUGCUUCAUUCGGGGAUUAAAGAUCAGGGGAUGAAUGCGAAUUAAAUUUAACAAUGGAUCGAUAAAAUUGAGAAUUUGAGAUAUUAAAAUUUGCAUAAAUGAAAUAAAUCCUUACGUAUCAUGCAAGUAAUGCCUUGAGGGCAGAAGAAACCUUCACAGCAAGGCCUACAAUCCAUUGUUCUAGAAGGCGUGUUCUUUGAAUCUUUGAGAUCAACUUGUUUAUGUCCUCCAACGCUGCAUCCCCAUCCUGGCUCGCAUCCUGACACCCACGAGCUCAGAUUACAAUUCUUGUUAGGUUUUAAAAAAUCACCCCUCUCUCCACUUCCGUACAAUCCACUGAAGUAGAACUUUAUUUCUGCUGCAUUGCAUAUCCUUUGAAGAAGAUCAUCUGCCAACAAACCAACCAACCAAUUCAAUCAAUUGAACUUCAAUGUGCAAUGUGAUCAAUCAGACUCGUACCAGAUUGCUUGAAGCAUUGAGUCAUAAAAGUCAAAUUAGAAGAGAAAUUGAAAGCUUCAUCCCAAUCUCGAUCCCUGCAAUCAAUCAAAAUAAAUAAUCGAUCGAUACUCUAUGCAUAUACCCCAGAAAGAAAUCAGAAACAAUUGCCUGUCGAGAAUGCAAUAAUCGAGCCCGUCGCCGACAUCACCGUGGAAGGUCUCGGUGAGAUUCGAGAGCUUAUUGUAGAUAGCGCCAGUGACAACAUUAUUAAUACCGUCGUUGGCCGCAACCGCUCCGUCAGGUGACUGGCAUUUCCCUGUCGGUAUCCCGGAUAGGAGGAUAAAGACCACGGAUACGACCAAGACGACGGUCGCCGACCUUAGCAUUGCGGGCGGCAUCGCAUUGCACAUGAGUGAGUUAUUGUGUAGAAAUCGUGAGAGAAUGUUGUUGUGAGAAUAGAAUUGGGGGUGGAAGGGAAUUGCGGAAGGGAGAAAAAAGGGGGCGGGAUGAAAGAAUUGGGGGCGUGGAUGGUUGGGGAGGAGAGGGGAAGUUGCCGAUGGCCGAUGGAGGGAAUGGUGUGGAAUUUAGCUUCUUUUUUUUUUUUUUUGAAAAUUCAUAUCUCACAACAGCCGGGAAUCCCAGUAAUAAGAUCAAUCCCAAAUUAAAACGAAAAACAGCAAAUAAAAGUCUAAUUUGGUAAAAUAAAAUGAAAUAAUGACGAUUUGAACCUCAAUUUUUUUAGUAAUUUACUUGAGUGAGUUAGGUGAAUUAAAUAGUCCCAAAUGUGAGGUCAUAUAACUAUAUAAGUCACACCCACAUGGCCACAUGUCAGAUUGGGUCAGAUGGUAUAUACGUGUGAACGUGAUAUUAAUCAUAUUAUGGGCGAAUUAAAGUUACCGACUAAUCAAUAAAUUUUAAUCUUUAUUUAAGAUGAUAAAAAAUAAUUAAUAACAAUAACAAAAAGUAACAGUUACAAAUUUAGGCCAGAUGGAGUGAUGCUAUUGUAGAUGGCCGAUCAGUGGGACCCAUGAAAUCAACGAUUGUGAUCUCAUCCAAAAUACAAACCGUCAUCACCCAAUCGGUUCGCCGGAAAUAGGAAAUACCUUUUAGUUUGGUUUUUGUUUGGGUUUAGAAGAAGCGUGACUGGUGUGUGCGAACCUUCAAGGAGGAGGAAAGGGAUAAGCAAGAUUCGUUUUUUCCAUUCGGUAACAGUUAAGUGGAUUGAUCGGAAAGGUAGUUUUUCUCCUCUAUCUCUCACUAGAUUUGUAUCCCUUUUGAUGUGCAAUUUCUGUUGAUCGAAGUUUGUUUCGUUUAAUUUUGUGUUUCAUUCGGUGCAAUUUAGUGUUUCUUUUCUCUCUCUAUCUUUUACUAUUGUCUGUUUUUAAUCGACAAUUAAUGAAAUAUAGAUAUUUUAUGAAAAAUUAAAAUGCUUGAUCGCUUUCGAUCAAUCUACUAUGAUUUUUAGAUCCAUCCCUUCAUUCUUCCCCAAUUUUAUUAAACACGUGAUUUAGAAUUGAAUUAAGUUGCUUAGUUUAUUUUUUGUUGCUAUUUCAAAUGAUAUAUUUAAGAUUCUUAACGGUGAUGUUGGUGAUUUUUGCAGGAUUUUGUUUCAAAGUGGGAAAAUUGAUGGCAAUGUAUGAUCAAGACCCUGAUGUUGUUGCGUGGGGCCUUGACCUUUUAAGUGGCUGCCCACCAUACCAUAACUCUGAAUAUUCUGAAACCAUAAUUCAUAGGGAUGACAUCGGUUACAACGAGAAUUACACUACGGAAAGUAUCGAUAACACUGAUAACUGUACAAUAGAGAAUGAUGAGGUUAUUGCUCACGCUCUCCAAGAAGAAUUUUCAGAACUUGCUUCUGUCGAGGCUUCUGAUCAUUUACAUGCGUCUGUUUUGGCACAAGUUUGGGACAAAUUCGAUAACGAUGGUAUAGUAUUAUACUAUUAUCUAAGACUGAAUAGUUUGUCUAUUUUUUGUCUUUUAAUUUUGUCAGGUGAAUUUUGAUCUCAUCAAUUUCAGAGAAUCAGGGCCACCACGAGGAAGAAGAUGUUCUAUCUUCCACCACAAGCUCAAAUACAGAAGAGUGCUGUGAGGAAAAAGAUUCCCCAUCUGAGAUAAUAGAUGAUCAUUUUGAUUUGGAUGGUGAGGUAGAGAAGAGGCUGAAUAAAAUGGUUCCAAUACAAGUAAGUUAUAACAUGUGCUCUAUUUUAUGAGAAGCUAAAAUUUCUCUUCUUCUGAUUAGAUAUGAUCUGUUAGUGUCAGUCUGCUUAUACCCUUUCAUAUAUUUUUAUUUUCUUCAUAAUCGUAUACCUUUAAGGCCAGAUCCUGUAAGAUAUUAUAUAUGAGAUAAAAAUAAGAUAUCAAAUCGUUUGAGAUAUAAAUUUCAUUGGUCUGUGUUUUUAUGAUUCAAUAUGUAAAACUAAAUUUUCGAGUUAGCAUUAGAAGUUUAGAACAAUAGAACAUACUAGGUAGUGACUAGUGAGCAACAGAUCAUGAACACCCCACAUAUACCAAAGUAUUAAAUAUUUACAUUUGCAAAAAAAUUGGUGUAAAAUCGUUUUGAAUUUGCAUAUGCAGCAUGUUCCAAAGAUAAAUGGAGAGAUCCCCUCUAUUGAUGAAGCUAUGUCUGAUCAUCAAAGACUUCUUGAAAGGUACAUUGAUUAUUUCCGUUUGAGUAUUUUAUUGCCAAUAUAACCUUGAAUUGAUCAAAGGGACGCAUCACAUAAGCAUUAUUUUGAUUUAUAUAUUUUAUGUAACCUCUUAUUUUUCUUUGAAAACCUGAGUUUUUUAUAAACGAUGAAUUGGUAAAUCCUGCAAAUCUACAAUAAAUGGGAUGUAUGAUUUUAAUUAUUUUUUACACUAUAUUUCCCCUAUAAAGUCCUACUUCUAUAGUCUUUUAUCAUUAAUAUAUUUAUAGAUUUUAUACUAUCUGGAGCACAUUUUUAAGAAAAUCAACAAAUACUGAACCAUACCUUUUCCCAACAAUAUUUCCCCUGUUGUCUGUUAAGAAUUUUUGAAGUGUAAUUCUUAGAAUUUUUUUUUCUGGUUGAAAUAAUGAUUGUAUAUUUUUUAUUUGAUAAAUUGCAACAUUAUAUAUGUGGUUAGCAGUUCAAUGACAGUUUUGAUUUUACAUAUCUGUAUUUUAUUUAGAUUGCAAUUAUAUGACCUGAAUGAGCUCAAGAUUGAAGGGGACGGUAAUUGUCAGGUUAGUGUUAUACUGUUGUUAACUUUUGUCCUAUCUAGGUUCCUGUAAACUUUGAAAAUACUCUGAAUCAUACAAACUUUGGAUUUUUUAGAGGGUAUUUGAAUAAUGUAUGAUUAUCGUAAUGGCGACACAUUCAUUGCAUACUGUUUUUCUGUUACUUGUGAGCUAUGAAAUAAUGAAUAAUUAUUUUGAUGUUUAAUUCCAAAUUUCAAAUCUUUAGUUCCGGGCAUUAUCAGAUCAGUUUUAUCGUACUACUAACCAUCACAGAUUUGUGAGGCAGGAAGUUGUCAAGCAGGUAUGCUUAAUACACUAGAAAUAUUAUUAUAUUUUACAUCUGUGAUUCUUUGGUGUAAUUUUAUUGGUUAUUUUCCGAUUGACAUUGAUUUUCUUUUAUUUAAUUUCAGUUGAAGUCUCAACCUGAUAUUUACGAGGGUUAUGUUCCCAUGGCCUAUACUGAUUAUUUGAAGAAAAUAUCAAAGUGCACGCUUUUCUCUCUAUCCUCUUAUUUACUAUUUCUUUCAUGCUUUACGUAACAUGUUAAUUUUCUUUGCAUCUUAUUUACUAGGAAUGGAGAAUGGGGGGAUCAUGUUACAUUACAAGCUGCUGCAGAUUCUGUAUUGUUACCUUUCUUUCACUUGUUAAUUAAGAAAUAAGCAAAUCAAACCUUGCAUUUUGUUUAAUAAGCACAUUGUAUUAGCAGAUGAAAAUAUGAUGAUUAUUUAUGCUGACAUUGUGGUGCUGCAGUAUGGCGUUAAAAUAUUUGUUAUAACAUCAUUUAAGGAUACGUGCUAUAUUGAGAUUCUUCCCAAUGUUGAGAAAUCAAAGCGUGGUAGUCUUCUUACUCUGAAUAUAUGGAUACAUAUUUGUUUUAUUGAUUACUAAUCCUUCUUAUAAUGUCAAAUUUCAAAAAUAAAAGCACUGUUAUGAAUUAAGUUCUUGAAACACAAAAGUGUUUAGUGAAUUUACUUCCGUGUCCCAGUAAAUUUAUCCAUCUGGUAAUAUGCCCUAUAAAUUUAUUUCUUGAUGGUGUUUUUCUUGUAUGAUAUGCUUGCAGUAAUUUUCUUGAGUUUCUGGGCAGAGGUACACUACAACUCAAUAUACCCCGAAGGAGGUACAAAAUUUCUUAAUCCUCACUUAUUUUUCACAUCGGUUAUAUUUUAUCAGGAAAUCUAAAACAGCCUUUUAAAAAAAAAUUGUGGUGCAGACAUGCCGGCUAUGCCAAUUCAAAUCAAGAAAAGGUAGUGAAUUAAUAUAAAAAUAAUAGAUAUUAAGAUUUAAAAUUAAUAGAAUAACACACCACUUUGCAAUUUGAAUCUCUCUCUGAUUUCUGACUGAAUGUGUGAAUAACUGAAUAUUAUCAGGACUGCUAUUCUGGAACAUUUACCUACCACUUGUGCUGUGAUGUGAUUACGAUUACAGUAGAAGAAGAGCUGAACCUAACAGACGGUCGGAUUUUUUCUCAUGUCAAACAUGUUAUAUCUUCAAGACGGAGUAUAGCGCAAUUCUAGUUGCCUAUUUGUAAAUAAACAUGUCUGGAAAUAAUGAAAUGUCAUAUAUGUUCACAUGAUAUAAUUUGUAAAACUAGGUAUUCUCACUUAUACUUACAUACUUCAAAUAUGUGAAUAUUGUCAUAUUGAAAAAUCAUCUAGUAUUUUGAUUUUAAUAUGAAAUAAAAACAUUGUAGGUAAACUUUAGAAUUGGAGGGUAAAUGUUUAUCUACCAAAAAGUUUGGAGGGAGUAGCAUGUUCAUUUUGCAUUCUUUUUUUACAUUUUAAAAAUUAAUAAAUUGUCAAAAUAUAUAAAAGAGGUUGGGUAUUUGUCUGUAUUUGGUUUGAGAUCAUUUAUCCAUCUCCAAUUCUCCAUCCUUGUUCAAAUUGAUCAAGAAAGGAAAUGACGAAAUUUGUUAUCAAUCCAAAGAAAUGGUAUUGAAGUUACGAGGAUUAUACUUGAUAUUUUAGACUCUUAAUUUUAUCGUUAUAUAUAUAUUUUUUUUUUAAACAAUUAAAUUUUAUUAAAAAAAUAAAGACAAUACCCCAAUUACAUAUAGAAUAAAAACAAAAACAAAAGUAAAAAAAAUAAACUUAUAUUUAGGGAUUUGGAUAUACUUAAUAUUAUGAACCUGAUCAACUGAAUCCGAAAACUUUUACUCUAUCAAAUCGGGUAGAACAUGAAUAAGGCCUUCAUGCCCGACUAGUCCUAAUGGAGAUGCCCAAUCAUAGAAAUCACUUAUGAUUUUAUCUUUUUGAAAGAGAUUUCUUAUGUGUUUCACUUUUUAAUAAAAUAAACGUCUAAAUUCUAAAUUCUCUUUGAAUAAUAAAUAUUAGCGAUUAAAUAAUGUUAUGUAAUCAUUCGGUAAUUACUAAUCACUAAUCAGCUUCAUUGGAACCGCUUAUCUUAACGCCAAAUAAUGUAGAUGUAGAUGUUGUAGCUCAUAUUAGCACUAAAAUGCGCCGAAACCCUAGAUAUUAUAAAUAGGGUAACAAAACCCCUCAAACCCUUAAUCUUCCUGCCUUUCACCUUAUCCUAAAAAACUCUUCUUUCCCUAUUCGAAUUAGAUCCGAGAGCAAUGGCUUCUGCCAACGCCAUCUCUACCGCUAUCCCUCGUUCUCCUCGUCAGGUAACCUGUUUCUGCAUCUCUUCUAUCCUUAGAAUCGUCUCUAUCUUUCUCCCACGAUGGGGAAUCCGCUAACUUUUCGAUUCUGUUUAUUAUUCUGUUUCAGCCAGAGGUUCAAAGGAGAAUCGGUGCACAGGGACGGAGAGUCAGCUACAGGCCCUCGUCGAUGAACGGAAAGAGUAGGUUUGUUGUGAGGUCGUCUGCGAAGGAGAUUGCGUUCGACCAGAUCUCUAGGAGCACUAUGCAGAAUGGAAUCGAUAAGCUUGCUGAUGCUGUUGGCGUCACACUUGGUCCUAGAGGUAACAUUAAACUUUUAACCCCUCUCAAUUUUUAGUUUUAUUGUUCAAUUGAUAUUUCUGAUGAUAUGUUGAUUUUUCCUACACGAUCUAAUUUCUGCUAUGAAUGUUAAUUACGCAUGUUCUUGUUGCUGAUAAAUGCUAUGCAUCUCUUUUUAUUUCUCAAGGGAGGAAUGUUGUUUUGGAUGAGUUUGGAAACCCUAAGGUUGUCAAUGAUGGUGUCACAAUCGCUCGUGCCAUUGAACUUGCCAAUCCCAUGGAGAACGCCGGUGCAGCCUUGAUACGGGAGGUAUUCUGUUAUGUUUUCCAGUUUUCCAUAGAUUGCUGAAUUCUUUCAAAUGUGAAUAUUUAAUCAUAUCGUGUCUGUGUAUAUCUGCUAGGUUGCCAGCAAAACCAAUGAUUCUGCUGGAGAUGGAACGACAACUGCCUCAGUGCUAGCUCGUGAAAUCAUCAGAUUAGGAUUAUUAAAUGUUACUUCUGGUGCCAAUCCAGUUUCUAUCAAAAAGGGAAUUGACAAAACUGUUAUUGAGCUUAUUAAUGUGCUAGAAGGCAAAUCCCUUCCUGUCAAGGGAAGGAAUGACAUCAAAGGUAUGUUCUCUAGAUUUCUUAUGUUGCAUUCAUCUUUUUCAUUAAUGUUUGAAAAUCUUUAUGUCCAGCUAUUGCAACUAUCUCGGCUGGAAAUGAUGACCAAAUCGGUACAAUGAUUGCUGAUGCCAUUGACAAAGUUGGACCAGAUGGUGUCUUAUCUAUUGAAUCUUCAUCUUCUUUCGAAACCACUGUUGAUGUAGAAGAAGGAAUGGAGGUCCUUUUUUUGUUUACUUUUGUUAGCUAAAUCUCUCUGAUUUUGUUGGUGUGUUUAUAAAAAAAUUAUUAUUAUUAUUAUUAUUCCAGAUUGAUCGGGGUUACAUUUCUCCUCAAUUUGUUACCAAUCCAGAGAAGCUGAUUGUUGAGUUUGAGAAUGCAAGAGUUCUUAUCACCGACCAGAAGAUCUCAGCAAUUAAAGAAAUCAUCCCUUUGUUGGAAAAGACUUCACAAUUAAGAGCCCCGUUGCUGAUUAUUGCUGAAGAUAUAACUGGGGAAGCUUUGGCUACUCUCGUUGUGAACAAGUUGCGAGGUAUCAUCAAUGUCGCUGCUAUCAAGGCACCUGGUUUUGGUGAGAGACGCAAAGCACUUCUACAGGACAUUGCAAUUAUGACAGGUAUUUUUUGGCCAUUCUAUUUUAGUAUAGUUUUCGUAGGAGCUAUUGAUCUAAUGAUUCAACUUUUCUUUUGUCAGGAUCUGAGUUUCAGGCUAAGGACCUUGGCCUUCUCAUAGAAGAUGCAUCUGUAGAGAGCCUUGGUAUUGCAAGGAAGAUAACCAUCUCUCAGAGCAGUACUACAAUAAUUGCAGAUGCAGCAAGCAAGGAUGAAAUUCAGGCAAGAAUUAGCCAGAUAAAGAAUGAGCUUGCCGAAACUGAUUCUGUUUAUGACUCGGAGAAACUGGCUGAGAGAAUUGCCAAGCUUUCUGGUGGUGUUGCAGUGAUCAAGGUUGGAGCUGCAACAGAGACAGAGCUUGAAGAUCGCAAACUUCGUAUUGAGGAUGCUAAGAAUGCUACAUUUGCUGCUAUCGAGGAGGGAAUUGUCCCUGGUGGUGGUGCUGCAUAUGUUCAUCUUUCCACUUGUGUUCCUGCCAUCAAGGAAUUAUUUGAAGAUGCCGACGAACGACUUGGUGCUGACAUUAUACAAAAGGUUAGUAUGGAACGGUAUUAUGAUUUAAUGACUAAUUGUGGCAAAUCUACUAUCAUAACAUAAAAAAUUAUUUGUCGUUGUUGCAGGCUUUGGUAUCCCCAGCAUCUUUAAUUGCCGCUAAUGCCGGAGUUGAAGGAGAGGUGGUUGUCGAGAAGGUGAGAGACAGCGAAUGGGAAAUUGGGUACAAUGCGAUGACAGACAAAUACGAGAAUCUAGUUGAAUCUGGAGUUAUUGACCCAGCUAAGGUGACGAGAUGUGCCUUGCAGAAUGCUGCAUCUGUUGCUGGAAUGGUUCUAACGACGCAAGCCAUCGUUGUUGAGAAGCCUAAACCAAAGGUUCCUGUUGCUGCGCCGCCACAGGGUCUUACUGUUUAGGUAGGUAUCCUUUAUUGUGUUGUAGCCAUGAUCAUGAUGAUUUUCACUUAAGUAAACAAUUUUGUAAUCUGGAUUUGAACUUGGGUGUCGAUUCCUUUCUCAUCGUGUGUUGUUUUCCUAUCGAAAUGAGAAUAAAGGAUGGAGAAUUCAGAGUUGGGAAUAGAAAAAAAAUGGACCGGACCACUAUUUUUUUCUUUUAAUCCCCAAAUGGAAUAAUAAAUUAGUCGUGAAAUUCCCACUGAAAUAUUCUUUUUCAUUACACACUAUUGUUUCUAGAGUUCUGUUCAAAAUUCCAUUUUUUAUUCUUUUUGAACUUCUUUAUUUAUUCCAAUGAUCUGAUGGAAUAUAUUUACGAUAACAUCCUUAAUGUGAAAAGGGUUUACGAGAAAAUUUCAUUAUAAAAACAGUCCCCAUGCCGUUAUACUGUUAUAUUUAGGUGAACACUAAACAGGAUUACGGAAGGAGGAAGAAGAUAAGGUGGAAUCGAACUUCGUCGUCCAGAGCGACAUUGUCCUUCAGAUUCCGAUUGUUAGGAUUGUUGCAAUUAUCAGCAGUGAAUUCUGCUCGUGUGCAACAUUGUUCUUAGCUGAAUGAUGUUGUUAGAUGAUAUUUUGGUCGACGACAUCCCCACUGUUUUGUAUAUAGUGGUGGUGGAUGAUGAAGAUCAAAUUUCAGUGCCGUCGUCAGUUAAAUACACUAGAUCGGCGCUCCAGAGCACAUUGCAGCUUAUGGGAUGCAAGGCGCGUCCUGCUUUCAAGGUGAUUUUCUAGGUUUUUGAGUUUUUUUUUUCACGCAGUCAGCUAGAAUUAGUUACACUUUUACCACACUAUAUAUUUUUUUUCCAGAUCACUCGAAGAGUAUUUGAGAUUAUGAAAAUUGAAACUUCUUUUGUCAGUGCUUCUCAUCUGAAAAUUGAAAAUUCUACAUGGUUUGAUCAAUACAACAGAAGUGAUACUGUCUACAUCCCUAGAGAGAAUUUUCUAAAUAUUGUCUGUCAAACUCUUGCCCAAUAUAACUACGUGGGACCAAAACAAAGGGAAGAUGUUGCUCUGGCUUGCAGGUUUAAUUACUCUUCAUUCUCGAUACAGUUCUUGCUUAUGUUUGUAGUCUGUAGAUGAUAUCAAAUAUUUUCCUCUUUAUUUUUUCUCCAGAAUAAGAGAACGAAAAGAAUCCGUUACAAUUCUCCUCUGUGGAACCAGUGGUUGUGGCAAAUCUACUUUAUCUUCAUUGCUGGUAUGGUACUUGCUGCUUAAUUUUUCUCCAUGCACAUUAUUCUCAACUCGUGUAUCUAUUGAACAGGGAAGCAGAUUGGGGGUGACAACUGUGGUUUCUACCGACUCAAUACGACACAUGAUGCGAAGUUUUGAUGAUGAAAAGCAAAAUGAUCUCCUCUGGUCUUCUACGUAUCAUGCUGGAGAACACCUGGACCCAGUGGCCAUGGCAAAUGCAAAGGCUAGACGCAGAGCAAAUAAACUAUCUAAAGAGCCAGAAUACAGUGUUUAUCCGGAUAAUAAAGCCCCUGAAACAGGGUUGGACGGUGAUUAUUCUAUCGGAGAAAAGCAGAUGGCUAUCGAGGGCUUCAAAGCACAAAGUGAAAUGGUAAUUGAGAAUCUGGAUCGACUCAUCACUGCAUGGGAAGAAAGAAAGGAGUCUGUUGUCGUUGAAGGAGUUCACCUGAGCUUAAAUUUCGUGGUAUGUAUGUAUGUACUUUCUCCACAAUAUCUCUUUCACUUUAAUAUUCCUUCAAGGCUUGAACAAUCUUGGUAGUUUUGGCGUUCAGAUGGGUCUGAUGAGAAAACACCCUUCAAUAAUACCAGUCAUGGUUUACAUAUCAAACGAAGAAAAACACAUGGAAAGAUUCGCUGUACGUGCCAAGUACAUGACAUUGGAUCCGUCGAAAAACAAAUAUGUCAAGUACAUCCGUAAUAUCAGAGCUAUUCAGGAGUAUCUAUGUAACCGAGCAGAUAAGCAUCUUGUACCCAAAGUAAACAACACUAACGUCGAUAAAAGUGUAGCAGCAAUCCACGCCACUGUGUUCAGCUGCCUAAGACGGCGAGGAUCAGGGGAGUGUCUUUAUGACCCAAUAACAAACACAGUCCCUUUGAUAGACGAAGAGUACAGAAACCAACGUGCUGCCAAUUCAUUGUCUUCCAAUGGAAUGUUUCAAUUAAUCCAGCGAAAGGAUUCUAGACGUCUGAUGGCACUUGUAAACACAGACGGGUCUGUUGCGAAAACAUGGCCGGUAAGUCCCAGUGCCAACAGUAACGUAGGCAGUCAGAUUGGGAAAUCGGAACCUGUUAAUCUUCAAUUUGGUAGUUUUGGAAUUAGUGCCUGGCCUAAUGAAACCUGUAGCACCAGUUAUUCUGGAAGCAUUGAUGAUUCUGUAAUGGGGAGCCGACACUAUUUUUCCCGUUGCAGUUCACCAGUGAUAUCAGAAGGACCUUCAAAGGAGGUAUUUUUUUAUAUUGAUGGUGUGAUUUGAAUAUUGGAGAAUGGUCCCAUUGAUUUUUUUUUGGUAGCUUAAAGAGGAAUCGUCUGUGGCUGACAGCGAGGAAGAAACAGAUUUUUCCAUGGACAUUAGUACUAGUGACAUAGAUGAUAACAUGGAAAUCACUGAAGAGGUAGUAAUUAUAAAUUAUUUAUCUUUUUCCAAUCACCUUGUUUUAUAUUCCGGCUUAAUCCAUCAGAUUGAAGGAUCAGUUAAAGAUGAAUCAUCGACAGAGUGGUCAGACGAAGAAUACAGAGAUCUUGACAUGGUUGAUGAUUUAGAAAUGCCAAGGCAAGACUGCAAAAUGAUAAUCUUUGUAAAUAAUGCUGUUCUAUCUAAACCCUACCUAAACCCAUGAUCUGCAUUUGUGCAAUUUUUACAGGCAUACUUGUUACCCAUUCCCACAACCAGACAGACUGAAGAUCGGAGCAAUCUACGAAACUAGAAAUUAGAAUAAGUAAUCUCAAUCUUUGUCAUAAAAAAAUCAAUCAGCUUAUUAAGCUUUUUAUUAUAGUCGAUAUUGAAGUAAAGGUCCCGAAUCCACAGCAGAUUGCUCCCAGAACAGAGAUGCAUGAGCAGAGCAAAACCUCAUACCGAGACGCUCCUCCCUUUACGAUCCUUAAGAAGCACACACAUGGAAGUAUGAAGCUCUGCAACCAAAGAGAAGGGGGGGGAAAAACAGAAUCCAUUCAUUAAAUUUUAUUCAUACAAAUGAAUGAAUCAAAGAAUGAAUGAGUAAAGUUACCACAAUCAUUGUAAAAAACGAUCCAAUGAAUGACAUCACCAAACCUGAAUAGAACAAACAGUAUCAUUCAGAAUUUCAGAUUGAGUGAGAGAGAAAUGACGCCAUGAUGGUGAAAAAUAUAGUAAAAGGGCAAAAACAUACCGAAAAAGGGAACGGAAAGCGCAACUACUAGAGCGGAGACUGUGAGUAUCGAUCUUAUGAUGAUUGCGUAGAUAUGAGAUUUAGCGUAGCUUGAUGGUAUGAGUUCCUCCAAACUCAGAGCCAGUGGUGUCAGCGUGAGUGCAAAUUUCGUAAUUGGGUUCACUACCGUAGUCCAAAUUGCGAUCUUCGACGCAAGAAGCUCGUGCGGAAGGUUCAGAGUGAACUGUGAUUCCGUCGAUUCACCGAACAUCGAAUACCCAAGAACGCCAGCUCCUGCGAACAGCACCGUGCAGAUUGCGAAGCAUGUGAAAAGAACAGAAGGGAACUGCCCAGGUUUCUUCAAUGAAGUGUAAAUGUUCGGGAACACCGCAUGGCCAGAGUAGCAGUAUCCAUACAGACCCACUGCUAUAGGGAGUGUCGGAAGAUUCAGUUGACUCCCGGCACUGUGAAACCCAACCUUGUCUACCACUCCAACCCACAACAAACACAAUACAACCAAGAUUGAUGCCACCACACCACACCCGGAGAAGUAACUAAGGAGGCUUAAAUCCCGGAGCCAAGUUGUUGGGAGGACUACCAAAGUUGUCAGUAUGGCAAAGACUACCUUGGAGUUUAUGUAUAAUCCCAGAAUGUUCAGCUCUGCUCCAGGAAACAGGGAGGAAAGGUUAUCACUCUCCAAGAUUAUGUACUCCACACAACACGCGUACAGCUCUAGGUAGAGGAUCACGGAUACUAGAAACCGUCCGAUGGUGCCGAAGGCAGCCUGCCCGACGUCGGGAUAUGUCUGGAGACCAGGUGAGCUGUCGAGACAUUUUCGGAGCAAAAUGCCGGUGUACCAGGCGAUCAUUGCGAACAUGAACAUAAUUACCAAUCCUCCCCAUCCACCUUCUCUGAUAGCAUAUGGUGUUGAUAGAAUCCCCACUCCAGUCAGAACAUUGAUUCCUGCAGAUAUAAAACCAGCAUUGAAACGACGUCAAUCGCCAUUCAAAAUGUAAACUACAGUUAAAUAAAUUAAAUACAUACCAUUGAGAGCAGCUUGGACGUAAGAGCAGUCACCGGACGCGGUGGUAGAUCCACCAUGGUAGUCAUGAGUUACUGUAGUCGUCGUUUUCUCACUUGAAGACCCUCUUGGCGGAAACAGACCACCGUGAGAGCUCUUCCGUUUCUCCUCUGCAACUAUCUCAUGUUUCUGGAUUUGAUCCUCUUGCGAAUGGGUUUUUUGCAGGAAUGGUCUGACGUGAUCCGGCACACGCUUGUCGUGAAACGAAGACGAGAGGAACGAGCCACUCAGUCUGCUUAGCGUGGACGUUCCUAGAAACCCAAUGCUCUUUGGGGUGACACUUGUGUACAUGUCUAUUGAUUGUCUUGAAACGAACAAAAAACCAAUGAACGUGAACAUAUAGAUGAAUAAGAAGAUCCGAGAAAAAAAUCGGAGAAGAAGAAAAACCUGUAACUUUGCGGCCAUGAAGUGGUGUAGGAACCGGGUCUGCUCCCAUCGUGAACACUAUCAUGACUGUCGUUCGAAAUGGUCUCUGACAAGUCCGAGUCGUACACAUCUCCUCCGCCUUCUUCCUCGACAUCGAUCUCGAUCUCGUCGUCGGUGUCUCCGAUGUAGAGGUUUCUUUCCGGCAGGGAGUGAGCCAUUUUGAAUUAUCAAUCGACGGUUCUGUCUGGUUGGCUAUAUACCAAAAAUUCCUGUAUGUAUGGGAAGUUAAUCGAUCUGUUUUUAUUUAUAGAAGACGAUGAGUCAGAAACAGCUAAUCGAAUGAGAGAUUUUACGAUAAAUCCAGAAGUGGUCACAUGGAUCAUAGAUGUGGAUCGGGGCAAUUCGUUGACGAAUCAGAAAUGGUCACAUGGAUCAUAGAUGUGGAUCGGGGUAAUUUAUUAACGGAUCUUAUAUGGAUCUAAAAGGAAUCAAAAUUAGACGGUUCCAAAGUCGAAAACGUGGACGAAUAGUUUUAAUUUGGAAUGUGGUCUAUGUCGUACGUACAGAAAUCGACAAAUAUUUUCGAAACAAUACAUUCAUUCCACUGAUUCCAGCAUUAUUGCAGUUAAUAUCGACGUCAUCCAGACAAAAUAAGGACAACUUACAAACGACAAAAAAUAGUCGUUUUCAGAAAAAUUCCAGAUCAUUAAAUGAAAAUUGUACCGUAGAUAGGUUAUAUUAUGUAAACCUAAUCAUUUAAGCUUCUUCCGGGAUGAUCGAUGAUCGCUACACUUCUAAUUCCUUGAAUUUUGAUGAAGAAAAAAGGAUUUCAAUAUCAGUAAUUAUUUGCAUUUCAAAUGAGAGACCGAUUGAGCUCCUCCGACGAUAUUGGACAAAUGUUUUAAUAUUCAUACACAAUGAGAAGAUAACAAAUAUGAACAAAAUAGAAAAUAUAUCAUUUUCUUAAUUCUCGAUAUCAAUCAUAUAUUCUUUCACUGACCAGCGGCGCCAAUCACGUUGGCCUUCGACCCCGAAUGCAAAGGUUGAACCGAUUGUGCACCUGAUGAUCGAAACUUCUGCCAGCUUGGUCAAGUCCAGUAAGAAGCAUGGCAGCAAGAUCCUUGGGGACAUUUUCCUCUUCUUGUUUGAGCUUUUUUUACUCUCAUUUGAUUUAGCGGUAUGGUUCAAAUCAGGGAGUGGGAUGGGCUUAUUUUUAUGGACUCCUUUUGUUGGGAUCCGUUGCUAAGCUGGAGCAGUAUAAGAAUUCUAAUUGGAUUUAUAGUCCAAUAUAAUUUUGGAACUAAUUGGUUUAGAGUUUAGAUAAUGACAGGAAUUAAUAAUGUAAAUUGCACAAGAGUCUAUUUUGUCGGGCCUUGAAUGAUCAGGUGAGCAGUACACUUGAUUAAUCAUAUGAAACAUAAAAGGAAUCUUUCUAGGCCUCCAAAAUAGUAUUUGGGCCUUGUUUUGGUGAGGCAGAGAGAUUUCGAUGUUCAUUUUCAUUAACCUCAUUUUGUCAUUUUGAUUUCACCAAAUAUAUAUUCCCUCUAUUAAAAAUACGUGUGUUUGUAGCUGAAGUGCUGAUUGUGCUGAUUGUGCUGAAGCAACAAAGUUAAAAGAUAUUUUUGAUGAUAUUUAUUCCUUGAAAUCAUGUAUUGUCAAUUUUUGAUAAUGAAAAAAGACCCACCAAAGUGACCAAACUGACCAGGGAUGUGAAUAAAGUGAUGGUCUGCCAUAACUCUACCACACCAUCUCUGUGACUCUGCUGAAUCUGCUCUGUUAUAAAAUCAGAGGAAUCUCACAUCAUCUCACAUCUACCCAUCCAUCCGUGUGCAGACCAAAAAACUCCAACCGCAAUAUUAAUUAAUCAACCAGUUCCAUCCUUGUUCCCAAACCCAACUCAGGGAACCUGUGACGAGAUUGGAGCUAAAUUCCAGGAAGAUUAAAGACGAUCGAUUGUGGUCGGUUUCAUAUAUGGCAACGGCAACGGCAACGGAGAGAAAAGUUAGUUUUUGCAGAAAGCAUUUGCAAGACCCAUGUCGGACAUUGAGCAUAAGGUGCAAGUUUAUGGUGAGGGAGCAAAGAGCACGGUUCUACAUAAUUCGCCGAUGUGUUAUAAUGCUCGUAUGUUGGAGAGACUCCACUGAUUUGUGAUACUAUCUAUCAUCCCAUCUUUUCCAAUAGAUCGAUUUCUAGUUAUAUAUAUGAUGGAAUAAGCUAGCUAGAUGCCUAGAUGGCGAUGAACCAUGAUAUACAUAAAUAAUUAAAUAGCUUUUCUCAUAAUAUGAGAUUUAUGCAUAAUACACAUGUAGAUUAUAUAGAAUAGUCAGAAUUUGAGCGAGAUUUAAUAUUGUCUCUUGCUAUUUUUUUUCAGCUCAGAAUAAGAAAUAGAUCUACAUUUUUUUUAUACAUACAUUUAUAGAGAUAUCAAUAUUACAUAAUUACAUAAAUAUAUAAUAUAUCAUCGGAUAAAUUUAAAUAAAAAUAUAAAAAGUAAGAUUCGAAUCUAGUCUAAAGACUUCAUAAACUUUAAUAGUUUCUUGAAACCAAUGAGUCAAUCUUACAAAAUAGAUCUCCAUAACGUUUUCAAAUGAUUAUGACUAUCUUUUGAUAAGUAAAUUAAAUUAAAAUGUAAACACUCGAAUCUUAAUAGUGUAUACAAUCGAUUAGGCUAAUAGUGCAUCACUCUCUUUCUACUUGGUGGUUACUAUAGAAUGUAGGGAAAGAAAUAAAAACAUUAGCCUUAUUUUUUAAUGAAAUUUAAUUAUUUAAAAAAAAAAAAAAAAAAACACACACACACACAAAUUGUGUAAGUAUGACUGUUUCUAUCGAAAUUCCAAACCAUGUGCAUAGAUGCCAUGCUAGUAUGCUACUAUGAUGUGCACACAAUAGGGUUGGUGACCUGUCUAACUGUUUCGUUGACACUUGGCACAGUGCCUUAUCUAUUUUGAUAAAUUAAAUUACUUGGUGUAUUGAUGAAAUUUAUAAAUACUGUUGCAGAGCUAAUGAUCUACUUAUUUAAUUUACUUAGUUGGUUAAUAAAUUAAUUAGAAAAUAGAUAAGGAUAUAAUUCCAAGUACGGUACUGUACAAGCAGCACCAGCCAGCAAACAAACAGAAACUUAUCACGCCCAAAAUCGUACUGCCACAGUGAGAUUCUCCUUUAUCUGAUAUUGGCUGUUCACGCCCACCCACACGUGCCUUCGUUUUGUCAGUGGUUUGCCAACUCAUUUCACUCGUCUUCCUCUUUUUUGUAACACCGUUGGUUUCUACUAUGGUGUCAUAAGCCAAAGCGCUGGUUCGGUUCUAAUUUAACCGAGUUAAACUUGACACCAUAGCAAAUUAAUCAUCAUCAUCCGCGAAGUCACCAGGCAAUGAUGAAGCUCCUCUACUUACUCCGGCAAAGAAAGGAUUCAUAAUUUUUGAAUGUCAUCCAUCAUACAUUGUCGAUUAAUGGUGUGUUCUUGAAGAAGGUGAGAGAUCGGAGGUGUGUGUGUGCGAGAGCAGUUAGGGUUCGGAGUCGAGGGGUCGCCGGAUGGGAGCUUGAGACGUUUGGAACCCUAAUAGGGUUUUGUAUUUUGAUAUUUGAAAAAGUUGAAGUAAAAGUUAUUACAAGAACUAUUUAUAUCAUGACCUAAGCUUAAUGGGCCAACAUUGGUUGGGUCUGGUUAUAUCUAAAUAUUAUUUAAUCUAAAAGCAUUAAUCUAAUUACUUAAUCUUAAUACCCCCCCUCAAGCUGGAGAGUGUAUGUCAUAGAGUCCCAGCUUGGGCAGCAGAUUUCUUAGAGCUUCAAGACUUGCCGGCUUUGUUAAUAUAUCUGCAAUUUGAGAUGUUGAUGAAACAUGCUGUAGUUUAAAUAGUCCAGCUUGUAAAUGAUCACGAAUUAGAUGACAGUCAAUCUCUAUGUGCUUUGUGCGUUCAUGAAAAACUGGGUUUGUUGCAAUGUGAAUUGCUGCCAUAUUAUCACAAUGUAGUGUUGUCUGUCUUGAUGGUUUUACCUGCAGAUCAUUCAAAAAAUAAUGCAACCACAUAAUUUCACAAACAGUUGAUGCCAUAGCCAUGUAUUCACUCUCAGCAGAUGAUCUACUGAUAGUUGUUUGUUUUUUUGAUUUCCAGGCUAUAGCAGAUCCACCUAAUAAGAUUGUGUAGCCUGUUAUUGACCUUCUUGUGUUGGGGCAGUCUGCCCAAUCUGCAUCACAGUAGGCCUCUAGUUGUAGAGGUGCAUCUCUUCUGUAUAAGAUACCUUUCCCUGGUGCACCUUUGAUAUAUUUCAGUAUUUUGAUUGCUGAGUUAAAAUGUGAUUGUUUAGGUGCUGCCAAGAAUUGGCUAUGAUGACUAACUGAAAAAGCUAUAUCAGGCCUUGUGAUUGUCAAAUAUAACAAUUUCCCAAUUAGCUUCCUGUAAAUUGAAGGAUCCUUUAAUGGGGCAUCCCUCUCAGGAUUUUUGUAGUUGUGGGACAUUGGAAUUUUAGAUGGAGAAGAUCCCAAUUGUCCAAAAUCAUGUAGUAUAUCAAGGGCAUAUUUCCUUUGUGACAGGAAUAUACCUUGGUUUGAUUGGGAUACCUCAAUUCCUAGAAAGUAUUUGAGUUUACCCAAAUCCUUUAUAUGGAAUUGGAGAUGUAGGUAUUCCUUUAGUUUUUGAAUUUCAGCUUCAUUAUCACCUGAUAUAAUUAGAUCAUCCACAUAAAUAAGUAGACAAGUGUAUGAAUUUGUAGAUGACUUAAAGAAUAAUGUGUAGUCAGAGUGAGAUUGAGUGUACCCAAACUUAGUCAGUGCUGAGGUGAGUUUUUCAUACCAAUUCCUGUUUGCCUGUUUCAGGUCAUAUAAAGACUUCUUUAGUUUGCAUACCCUGGUGUCACCUGGGGGUAGCAUUCCUGGAGGUGGAGACAUAAAUAUUUCUUCAGAUAAUUCACCAUGUAAGAAGGCAUUACUUACAUCCAUCUGAUAUGUAGACCAGUUUUUGGUUGAGGCUACUGCCAGCAGUGUCCUAACAGAGAUGAUCUUUGCCACUGGUGAAAAGGUUUCCUUGUAAUCAAAGCCUUCUAUUUGAGUGUGCCCUUUUGCUACAAGCCUGGCUUUUAACCUUUCAAUUUGGCCAUCAGACUUGUGUUUGACUUUAUAUACCCACCUAGAUCCUACUAUUUUCCUUUCUUUUGGCCUUGGUACCAUUUCCCAAGUGUCAUUUAAUUCAAGAGCUGCAAGUUCAUCAUUCAUGGCUUUUACCCAUUCCUGACUUUGACUUGCUUGAUUGAAGGAUGUUGGUUCAGUUGUGAUAGAAAUUUUGUCUAAAUAAUCAGUGUGAGAGGUAGACAAUCUUUUGUAUGUUAAGUAAUCAUGCAUUGGAAAAGAUGUGCCUGUAGAUUUUCCUGUGCUUGUGGCAAAUGAACAGAAAUAAUCAUUUAAUUUAGUUGGUGGUUUUCUCUGUCUACUUGGAUAUCUUUGGUUCUGUGUUUGAUUUUUUUCUGAAUUUUGGAGUAUUGUUGGUACAUCAUUCACCUCUGUUAGAUCUGAGUGUUCAGUAUUUGAUGUUGUUGAAUUUGUGUUAGACUCAUCUGAGAUUGAGUCGAUUUGGUCUGUCUCAGAGAGAUCAGUGUCAUUCAAUUGACCUUUGCUUUGGUUUUUGUUUGUUAUUUGAUCAUUUGAUUUGUUUUCAGAUGUAUCAAUUUUCUUAUCUAAAGGAAACCUAUCUUCAUAAAAGAUCACAUCUCUACUUAUUGAGAUGUGAUGGGUGUCUAACUCAUAUAUGAUAGAACCCUUUUGGGUUGAGGAUUUCCCUAAGUAUAUGCACUUUCUUGCUCUGGGGGAGAACUUGUCUUCUUUUACAAGACAAGUUGCAUAACAUAGGCAACCAAAGGUCCUCAGACCUUCAUAGUCAGGUUGCUUGGAGUGCAUGAGCUCAUAAGGAGAUUUAUCUUCAGUCACCCUGGAUGGUAACAUAUUGAUAAUGUGGGUGGCCUGAAUUAUUGAGUAUCCCCAUAACUCAAUUGGUAUUGAGGAUUGAAGCUUUAAGGAUCUAGCUACAUUCAAGAGGUGUUGGUGUUUCCUCUCAACCACACC